UCAUGAGAUACCUCAAGGAAACUUAUGAGUAUUAUUUAUAUCACCUCGAGGACCAAAAUGUCUUUAUAUCCAAGAGGACAUUGUUGAUUGAAAAAGAACAUAUUCUUGAUGGAGAUAGUAAGAACGUAAUUAAGCUGAGUGAGGUAGGAGAACUUAAUUAUCAUUCCGUAACCCGAGUCUAUUCAAAUUCAAAUGUCUAGCACACAAGUUUCAAUUUUGGAUAAGUUCGACUGAAUAUCUUAUUUUUCAUACGUGAGGAAAAAAAAUUUAAACACACCCAAGAACAUGAAAUCUGCAAAAGAAGUAUAUCUGUAUUACUUCCAAUAACCUAAAGGGGAAAAGGAAAGCAGAACAGAGUAACCAUCAUCUAUGGAUUCCUACAGCAUAUAAUAUGAAGGUAUAGCAAACAAAGUUCCAAGCCAGGUGCUCGUAAAAGGAAUAAUGGGCUCAAUUAUAGCAAAACAGGCAUUUUGUUCUUUCCUCUUCUUCAAGAAAGCAAGGAGAUGAGUAAAGGUUCUAUUUGGAUAAACAUCGUUGGUAUACUAAAUCUACCUACCAAAAAUUAAAUAUUUAAAACAUCAAUUGAUAAAAUUUUGAAUAUAUCAGUUAACGUAUUUGGUAUCAAUCCACAGGUUGAAUUCCGUCGUCGUCCGUACAUAAUAAUCAAGGAAACCGAAAUUAAACCAGUUCAAUUGUAUCUUAACACCCGUUGCUAGCAUUUUUGGAUUGCGAGCAAAGACGUACGUAUGCCUCUGUCAAGUAGAACUCAAUGGUGUUGAAGUGAGUAAUGACACGUAAUCACUGACCGCAUAGACGAAGUCAAGGGAACAUGUAAACAUUUUACUUCCCCAUCCCAAAGUCGGGUUCUGAUUUCGUUUCCCCGCUCGCCUUCGGCUCCGCUCCCACUCUCUCUUUCUCUCCCUCUCCUCGCCGGAUCGUUGCUUCUCUCUGGUCCAUCGCUUCCACCCACCCACGCACCCAAACCCUAAUUAGUCCCUCGAUCCACCAUCGCUACCGCAUAGCUCGUUCCGGAGUAGUUCUUUCCCACCUUCACGGUCUGCUCUAACCCUAAUUCGAAUUCAUCGCAGCAGCAGCACCAGCUGUCGCCGCAGCGGAGGACGCGUCGUCGGCUAUCUAGCGCGCCUCUCACCAUGCCGUCCAUACUCUCCCCGGGUAAGAUCCACCGGUUGGAGCUCGAGAACUUUAAGUCCUACAAAGGGUUCCAGACCAUCGGUCCCUUCUACGACUUCACAGCCAUCAUCGGCCCCAAUGGCGCUGGAAAGUCCAACCUCAUGGACGCCAUCAGCUUCGUGCUUGGCGUCCGCUCCGCCCACCUCCGGGGAGCCCAGCUCAAGGAUCUCAUCUAUGCAUUCGACGACCGCGAGAAGGAGAACAAGGGGAGGAAGGCCUUCGUCCGGCUCGUCUACCUUAUGGCCAAUGGUAUCGAGCUCCAGUUCACCCGGACUAUUACUGGUGCCGGCGGCAGUGAGUAUCGGAUUGAUGGCCGGGUCGUAGGCUGGGAUGAGUACAAUGGCAAACUGAAAUCGCUCGGCAUCCUUGUAAAGGCAAGGAAUUUCCUCGUCUUUCAGGUAACCCAGCUGACAGAAGAAGUUUUACGCUGUUUGAUGUGGUUCUCAUUUCUCGUAGUCUUAAUUUUGCUAAAUCGUGUUUGAGCCUCAAAUUGUAUUGUUCAGUGAUACAGAUAUGUUCUUUGCGUACUUUUCUCAUUUUGAACAGAAUUUACUUCAGGAUUCAGAAGUACAGAGGAAGAGUAGCUGCGUAAGCCAUGUCCCAUUUUUCAGCAUUUUUCAGCUGUAAUAGACCUUUUUCCUGAUCUCUAUUCAACAACGAUAUAGCCUCAACAAAGGAGUCAUAAAAUAUCUGGUUUAGCCUAAACGAAAAGCUAAUGUGGGAAGUUACUAGCAAUUAUUAGGCCUUGAAAAUUGGUUUGCAUAUGCUACAUUUUAUGGAGUAUAGUUGAAUUUAAGAAAAAUCAAGAUGUAUGGUGAAUUUCUUUGGCUGGUUAGCGAAUCCCUGUCCCCUUUCUUUUUUGUGUCUUUUUCUCAUUUUUUUUCCUUUUCUUCUUUUUGUUUGUUGACUGUAUGAUGAAUUGACCUGCAACAUUUUAUCCUUUUUCCCCCUCUAAUCCAAACCUGUUGUACACUUAUUGACAUGAACUGUCUAGAUGUGUUAUCACAGAACAAUGUUUUAUGAUCCUUGCAGAUUGAUAGAAUAGCAAAUAGAUCCACCAAUGCUGAACAGGAAAUUAGCUGGUGGGUCCCUUAUAUUUUUGUUUUCCCAUUGGACAGGAUUACAAAAGCUAAAACAUGAAGGUGUCAAGAGAUUUGUACCUGUUGUGGGGGGAAGGUUUCUAAGUGUUUGCUGGCAAAUUGAGUGACUCAAAUUUGCAAAUGGAAAUAUGAACUUGCCAAGAGAUGAAUACCAAACUUGUUAAUCAGUUUUAAGUAAAAGACUUAAUAAACACACGAAUGAUAUCCUGAGGAUCUGGUUGAAUAAGAAGCGAUUUAAAGUUUGAUAUUCUGAAGGUGGAGUCAAAGGAUCCAGUGGAGGAAAUGUAAGAUCCGGAAGGAAACACUGAGAGCAGGAGAAAUUUUAAGCUCCUUGACAACAAAGAAAAUUGACGUAUAUCAAUUAAUCCUUUUGAACACUUGAAGAAGUGCACAUGGAAGAUUUGGUCAAAUUCUUUGCUUAAAGGGAACAUUUGGCUUCAAUCUAAUGUGUUAUGAGGGCAUGAUCAGAGUUCAGGCCAUGAAGGUGCAAAUUGAAAUGACAUGGGAAGUUUCUAAACAGAUUAAUGUGGGACAACCUGUAACGGUACUAAGUCUCAAGGGGAUUGGGAAUAGAUAGGAAACAGAGAGAAAAAAAAAGAGAAUUUGAUGUAAGCACACUUGAUUCAUAAAAAAAAUUUUAAAAAUGAAAAAUACAAGCUGAGCUAAAGUUCAAACAAAUAACAAAACUUAAGGAGGGAGAUAAAUUACUAACAUGAUUCUUCCCAAAUAGGUCUAGUUAGUUAUUGAGGCUGCUUCAUGGGACACUAGAUAAUCAGCAGUAUGAGUCUUGGUGGAUUGUACAAGGUUUAGGAAAGGUAUUGGACAAGUGGAAGAUAUGUUAGAGAGGUUGGAGAUAAGACAAUAGGUAGUUAUUUAUGUUUCUGAGGCUUUAAGGCAUAUGUGAAGGUGGAAAGAGGAUGCAUAUGAUAAUGUGAAUAGAGGAGAAAAAAACUAAAAUUGAUAGCCUUGGAACCACACCAAGUCCUCUGAACUAACCUUGAGGGAAGAAUGUGGCCUUACACCACUUAUAAAUUGUGGGAGGAGAUAAAUUUAAUUUAUUAUAUGAUGUCCAUGAUCAAUCUAAUUGGCAUAUACUAUUAUAUGCAGAAUAUUUAAUGAAAUUCAUUAAAUAUUUAAUGAAAUUUAUUAUAUGAUGUCCAUGAUCAAUUUAAUUUAAUUUUUUGUUUCAAUAGAAUUUAUAAUCAUGCCCAAUUUAUCAUUUAUUUUGUUUGGUUUAGAUGAAUGAAAAUGAAAAUAUGUCCAACCCGACCCAAAUCUAAGUUUAUCAUAAAUUCUAAAGGAUUCUGUUUGCCUUCUUUCCAUGUUCUAAUGCAAACCCACAAAGUGGCUUGAUUUUCUUCAGAGAUGAUACAUCAAGCAAUUAUUCUGAAAUGCACACCAACAUGAGAAUUUUACACAUUGGAGUAAGCUGGUAAUACAUUAUUUUGGAUGAUAAUUAUCCUUCUAGCAUUAACAUAUCUGAACCAUUUAUGAAUGUGACCAUUGUGGUGGUAAAGAGGUUUCCAUGGAUUAAUGGCAACAUCACAAUUUUAACUGAACACUUUGUGAGCAUACAUUAUCAUGUUUUAGUGAAUAAUUGCAGAUAAAGUUUUGAAGAUUUUGUGGAUGAGAUUUGCAUCAAGUGAAUUUGUUUUGCUAUAUAUAUAUAUACAUAUAUAUAUAUAUAUAUAUAUACAUAUAUAUAUAUAUAUAUAUAUAUAUAUAUAUAUAUAUAUAUAUAUAUAUAUAUNNNNNNNNNNNNNNNNNNNNCCGAAAUAAUCCUGUCAGUAAAAUCAUAGUUAUAUAUAACUUAGCCAUGUUGUUAUAUUUUUCAGGCAGUGCUUGACACUGUUUUGUAUUUUCUAAUUUGUUUCUUAGAACUUGAUUGCUAGGUGGAUUCCUUCUUUAUGCCUUAAUCUAAAUGAACUGAGAAGCUGUUUAUUUGUGCUAGUCACAUGAUAGUGACUUAUGUAGCCACACAAAAGAGAUGCAUUAGUUCGUGUCCAAGACAUCUGUCUUCCACUUGUUUGUUGUUAUUAUUUAUAUUUGUAAAACUUAAAUUAAACUGUACGCUUGGCUUUAGCACUAAGGUGUAGAUCAUGUUACUUUAGAUCUUGUAGUAUUAACAUUUGUGGAACAGGGUGAUGUGGAGUCGAUUGCCUCAAAGAAUCCCAAGGAACUUACAAGUUUGCUUGAACAAAUUUCUGGAUCAGACGAGCUUAAAAAAGAUUAUGAGGAAUUGGAGGAGCAGAAGGCUCGGGCUGAAGAAAAAUCAGCACUUAUUUAUCAGGAAAAGAGAACUGUAGUAAUGGAGCGAAAGCAAAAGAAAGCACAGAAGGAAGAAGCUGAGAAACAUCUCCGCCUGCAAGAAGAGCUGGUGUGUAUAAUUCCAUUUUUCAUUUGUUCCUAUCUCUUGCGUCUUGCUGUUAUGGUUUUCUAUAUCAAGGUGCCUUGAGGCAUCAAUACUUGAAGCAAGACUCUGGCUAGAACAGUGGAACAAAUCUAUAAGUAUUUUAUUCAAGGUGUCUUUAUUAGUCUCAUAUUGACAAUUUAGACAGAAACUUGAUGCCUAUCUAAUUUUGAAUUUUAUUCAUAUUAUAGAAAAUUUUGUUCUUAGUGAAAGAAUCUACAGAUAUGUGGUACACUGUCAACUAUUAUUCUAUAGCAUGCACAUGUUUUUUUUUUUGGCUAGCUGUUUCUGGCAAGCACCUUUUUGAUGAUCCUUUAUCAGAAAUAUACUGCAAUACAAAAGAAGGUGCAUUCACAAACUCAAACACAAUUUAAUACUGUCUCUGUUCAUUAUUGCAUUUGACUCAGUUUUGUAUAAACUCUGCAUGAUAUCAUCUUCAUCUCCAAAUUAGGCAUAUGAGACAUGCCUAUUGUGUUAGUGAGGUAACUUCAGAAGGUUGACAUGCAAGACCUAAACAUAAGUAACAAAUGCAUGUUAUGAUAUUACAUUACUUACCAUGAAUAUCUCAAAAAUCAGCAUGUAUCUAUUAAUGCAUAAGAAUUUUUUUUUUUUUGGUUAUGAUAGAGUAACAAAUGCAUGUUAUGAUACUACAUUACUUACCAUGAAUAUCUCAAAAAUCAGCAUGUAUCUAUUAAUGCAUAAGAAUUUUCUUUUUUUGUUUAGACAAUUUCAUGUUGUCUUGUUCUGUAUUUUCAUGUAGAGUCAUGUAAACAUUCAUGCAAUUUAUCUAAACAAUCAAAAGAAAACUGCUACAUUAGUCAAAUUCACUUUGAUUUAUGAAAUUUCUUAAUACACUUUCCCAUUGGAUAUGAAGGUGAUCACUUUAUUAUAUGGGUAAUUUUGCUUUUUAUUUAUGGAAUUUAACUUCAGUAUUUUUUCAUAAGAUGAGUCUAUGUUCCUAAGUAUCAUAAUAUAUGGAAAUCGUCAUGUCAAGUCUACCGUUCCUUACUAUUCACAUGCAUCCCCUAUCCUCUCCCUACUAGUUAAAAUUCAUGUAUACCACAUAUUUUUAUUAAAAUAUUCUUAUGCAACAUUGACGAAUAAAUGACGUUUGAGAAAAAAGUACACAGAUUAUUUAAAAGAAAUCACACACGUAAACAAAUGAAUUACCAAAGUGCUAUCACUGCAAAAGCAAUCAACAAUUUUAAACCUCUUGAGAGUGGAGUAAGUUCAUAUCUUUCUAUUAUUGAACUGUCCAGUAACAUUUGAGUGCACUCCACAAGUUCACUGCAUGCACUACGUAUCUUCUUUACUUAGUCACAUUGACUUGGUCAACAUUGCUUCACAUUUUACCUGACAAUCCACAACAAUUCUGUUGCCUUCCACCUCGGUAUGUUAUUCCAUUGAAGGAAAGAAUGGUGAAUCGAAUAAAGAAACUAAAGGACCGAUUCCAUCGAAUAGAUGGGUGUAUAGUGCCACUAUUAAUUUCCGGUGACCGUUGGAGGCCUCUAUACAAUCUUUUCUCAAGCUUGCAAGAUUUAUACUCAUUUUUGACAGUAAAUUUGCCAAUGACAAUUGGGCAACCAGAUAUGUUAUCAUGUAGUGUGUAAUUGAAGUACUGAAUUCUUUGUUUGGCCCUCUUCUUAAUAUGAUCAUAGAGUAUAAGGUAACUUAUGCUAUUGUUGUGUUUAUAUUACUAUAUUCAUGCAGAAAUCUCUGAAGAAGGAGCAUUUUUUAUGGCAACUUUUCAAUAUUGAAAAUGAUAUUGAAAAACUCAAUGGUGAACUUGAUAGUGAAAAGAAAAAACUUGAGGAAGUUCUCUCUUUACAAAAGGAAUUCGACUCUGAAGCAGAGAUGAAAAAGAAAGAACAAGCUGGCUAUUUGAAAGAGUUGACAAUUCGUGAAAAGAAGAUUGCAAAGAUAAAACUUGAGCUUGAUAAGAAGGUAACUCCUACUACGACAUGCUUCUGAUCAUAUAUUGGCUGAAAAAAAUAAAUUUUCCUUCUCAAUAACCUGUUCACUAACAUUUUGAAGCACAAUCUGUAGAGAGUUUACUUCUACAUUUCUUUUUUUCUCCCAGCAACCAGAGCUUCUUAAACUAAAAGAAGAAAAAUCUCGCAUUAAUUCAAAAAUUAAAAGCAGCAUAAAAGAGUUGGAGAAAAAGAAAAAAGACCAAAGGAAGCAUGCUGAAGAAAUAGGAAAGCUACAAAAGGAUCUACAAGAUGUCACUGAAGCUAUUCAUGAGCUGAAUGAGCAAGCUAAACAUGGUGUUGGCAAACUUGAACUAGCAGAUGAUCAACUAAGUGAAUAUCAUAGAAUGUAAGUCAUCCCUUUAACUUCAAUCACUCAUUUUGGCAUAUGAUUAUCGUGUUCCUUAAUUAUUAAUUUCUGCACAUGAUUAAUGUGUGCAGCAUCUGCUUUAGUUUCAUUUUUCUCUGAGGUCAAGUAAUAUGUACUUAAGAAAGAAUAAGACUUCUGUAUACGUCAAGAGUGCCCCAAUAAGCUUACAGCUUCUUGGUGUUCACUAACCACAUCAUGAAAUUUAUCCCUGUUCAUGUGGGUCAUAAAUUCUGCUUGUCUAUGAUUUCAGAGAUUCAUGCACUUUUAGAUGCAUAUCAUUUAGAUGUCUUGCAUAUUCAUCAAAAAGGUCCGUUAUAAUGAGUAAAUAUAAAUCCAAUCAAAGCCCAAAAAUACCAUGUCUGGGCAACAUUCAGAUAAAAGGCCUUGUUCUGAAUAUUCUUCUCUUUUUUAAUAAUGGAAAUGGGGGCAUAAGAUAUUUGAGGCAUUAUACAUGUCACCCUAGUUUACAGUCGGGUAUAAUAUCCAUUUAUACCUAUGUAAAGCAUGGAGCACAGAGAAGAUAGCCAAAGCUCCCAAGGGUUAGGAAGCAAGCAUCUAUAACUGGUAAAGCCUACAUGUGGCAGGGAAUAUUUUCACCUGUAGCAAUAAACACCCUACCCUUUACUCAAGGAGAGGGGUAUGAACCAGCUAAAUAAGCUAGGUCAGCCAUUUUUAUUUUGACUUGACAAGUAAUUACUAAUUAGGAUAUAUAGUCGUUUGAUGUAUCGUUUGAAACAGGUGGUAUACAUCGAUCCGCCAGCUAAUUGGUAUGUGGACUAGCCUAUUUUGGGCGAGACACAUGAAAAGGGUCAAGUAUCGGUUAAUAUGGGUGAUGUAUCGGUUGAUACCGUUGAAACUCUUAUUGUAUCAGCCAGUGUUUUAAAAAGGCGCUCGCUUAUGUGCUUAGGCAAGGUGAGGCUCGAGCACCUCGCAUAGUUGUCGGGCGACGUGCUUUAGUGAAGUGCCGCUUGGGCGCUUACCUAAGCCGAAGCAUUGAGCGCCUCAGGUGAGUGCCAGAUUGAAGGUGAGUAAUCGAACCAGAUAGUCAACUUUGGUUUGGUUGAACAGUAACUUGGUUCAAUCGAACUAACUAAGCACAAUAAAUAGUAAUAGUAAACCCCCCGACCCAUAAACCCUAAGUACUUUGCUGCCCUGACUCACCUCUAGUUCUGCCGCUGCCUUUGUGCACAACCGUUGACUUCGCCACUAACACACAGGUUCGACGCGUCCUCUGUCGUCGAUGGACAGGUCCGAAGCUCCCGCUGUUGUAGCUUUCGUGCGCAGUUCCCUCUAUCACUGUUGCAUUCGUGUGUAGAUUCUUUCGUCGUUGAGGGAUAGGACUGUAGCUUCCUUCGCCACCGACAAACACAUCCGAAGCUUCCUUCAUCCUUACGCUAUUGCCCAUAGCUUCAUUCGUCAUCGCUGCCACCAUUCGCACUCUUCUCCAUCAUCGUUGCCCUCUCCCUUCCCAUGUUCCACCAUUGGUGACUCCUUUUCUCCCCCUCUACUAUUAUAACUACUCUUUAACAAUGGACCAAAUACUGUUAACAGUGGAUUGUUAAUCCAUAACUGAUAUUAAAAUUAUUGUUACCACAUAAUAAACUAAAACCGUUAUCAAUCCUUAGAAUUGUUGAUCUAUUUAGAACUAAUUCCUAUUUAGAAUUACUAAUCCUUAUUUAGCAUUAUUAAUCACUAUUUAGAAUUAUUAUUAGUUCCUAUUUAGCACUGUUAAUAUCUAUUUAUUUAGAAUUGUUAUUAAGGUUUCAAGAUUAAUGACAAGUGUACAAAGUAAUUCAGAAAAUUCAUAAAACAAUUCAACUUAAUGUUGUAUUGUUAUUUAUAUAAUCAUAUUUAUCAAUUGUAUUAUAUAUUUUAUAUUUUAAUGUUCUAGGGCGCCUUGCUUUGCUCGGGUAGGCUCUUAGGCGAGCGCCUUGGGCGUCUUGGGACCUUGGUGCGUAGCGCUUUUAAAAACACCCAUAUCGGUUAUACAGGUUGACAUUAGUCAGAAUUUGACUGAUACCGACCCAAAUCAGGUAAAACCCCAAUGGUCAAUUCAACCAUUGAGGCCUCUUUUGGAGCUUUUAAAUCCCUCCUUCCUCCUCUUUCACUCAUUCUCACUCACUUUCAUAUAUUUUAUCAUUCCUACUCUCGUUCUUAUUCACUCUCUCAUUUCCACCCUCAUUCUCACUCUUUCUCACACUCUUGCUUGUGAUUAGAAGUUCCUAAUUAGCGAUUAGUGAUAAUCAAGCUAUUGGUUUAGAUAAAAGAGGAUUUAAACUCGGAAUCUAAUGGAAUUUGUAUCCAAUUUGAAUGUAUUUAGCUUCUUUUUUAUGUUUUAUUUAUCAUUUCAUAUAAUUAGAGGCGUAUUAAUGUAUAUUUACAAAGAUUAAACUUGAUUAGGCCUAAAUUCGAGGUAUCUAGGGUUAUUCACAGGCUUAUGCAUUUAUUUAUGCCUCAUAUGCAUUUUAUUCUUAAUUAAAGACAAUAAAAUUACCAUUAAAAUAGGAUAAAAAUCUUAAAAAGUUUUUUUUAUGAAUGUUUAACUAUUUUUAGCAUUUUAAAGAAAUUGGUACGUAUUAGUGUAUGUACAUAUGGUACAUCUUUUCCAAUCUGUCAUGACCUUAGUUGGGAUUGCCUAAAUUAUGCAUUAUCAAAGAGAUAUGCGUUCGCAAGGGUCAGCCUAGGCCUUAACCUCGUGCAGUCCACAAAGGACUUGCACAACAAAGAAAAAGUUAGAAAGAUGAACGUGUGGGUAAUUUGCUAUCGUCGCAUAUGAAAAGGGCAAGAUAAUCAGUAUCCAAAACAACACAAAUCAUCCAGUGUUUAUUAGGCUCGAAAGGGUCCCAAUAACAUACUGAACAAGCACACACAAAGGGGAUUCUGAAGGUAGAUUGGGUAAUUUACCAUCGUUGCAUAUGAAAAGGGCAAGAUAAUCAGGAUCCAAAGCAACACAAAUCACCCAAUGUUUAUUAAGCUCAAAAGGGUCCCAAAAAUGGGUUGAAUAAGCACACACAAAGGGGAUUCUGGAGGUAGAUGCAGGCCUAAUGUUCACCUAACGCUCUCGUCGAACAGAAAGUGAGCACACUAAAGACGUUGCAUCACCCGUCAAACACAUACCCAAAGCUCCAUUCGCCUCGGUGUCACUUGGGGGGUUCAAAGGUUCUGAGAUGGUUGACGAUUUGCACCAUUAGGCCGUUAGCUAAAAAUCAGCUCGUGGCAUGCGAGAACGGUGUAGUUUGGGGUCAUUUUUGCCUCAAUGUGGUGUCGCAUAGCCAAAAAGGUUUUCGAGUUUUCCAUUAUGAAAAUAGGAAACAAAAACACUAACAGCAAAUAAAAAUAGGGUUGACUAUAGUGUUUCUACCUCAUACAAGUUGCCCUAAAGAAAACAUUGAAACACAAAGAAAACAAUAGAAAACAAGAAUAAAAAAUCAUCAUGGACAAGCGACAAACACCUUGUUUGCACUGUUCCAUGAUAUUCUCCUCAACUUAUUCCUUCUAUGCCCUCAUCGAAGCCUUCUUGUAUGCUGAAGAUUGAUUGUCCACAACGACCAUGUACGUCUCAGCUUCUUUUGAGUCGUUGACUUUGAUCCAUCCAUUUUGCUGGAACUCGUCGCUGAGCUAGUUUAGUUGGGGAAAUUGGUUGAGUUGGAACACUUCAUGCUGUGCUCUUCGGAUCUUUUGGUCAGCAAAAGAAGAGCAUUCAUGCUUGCAUUCAAGCCCCUUGGAGGUAUUACCUCGCAAAAGCUUGACUGUUGUUGGUUGGAGCUUCACGAGCACCAUAUCGCUAAACUUGAAGAGUUUGUGGCUUUCUCCCACAAUGUUUAUCCCUCACAUCCUCUAUUUGAAGGGACUUUCAAUUAUGUAGAGCUCCACUAUAUAGGUGAGGAGAAUUAGGUUACAUGGAAUGGCUUCACCCAAAUUCCUCGGUUCGUACUCCUUGCUCCGUGCUAGUUACUUGACUUCGCUUACUCUUUGCCAUCACACUUUUAGAGUAUGGGAAGUGUUGCUUGAACCUGAGCCAGGUUUCCCCCUUAUAAAGCGCUUAGGUGAUAACUUUGGUCGCGCCUUUGGGAUUGUCCAUGUCCUAGUUGCGAUUAGAAAUGUGCUCUCCCUCUUGGAGCACAAGUUUGGUUAGCACUCGGAAGACCCGCCACUAUAGUACCAUGCCUUAUCUCAUGAUGUUCAUGGUCUUCAGUGUGACACUUUCUCGACCAAGUUCUUUUUGGGUAGUUGAGUCCCUCCUGGACUCGAGGUCGUCACAAUGCUUUGCCUCUCAUGAUCUACUACUUCUGCACAUCCUGUGACUUAGGAAGCACUUCCCUCAUGAUCUUCCGCCAAUCAGACUGUAACUUUUUGACUCUGAUUCUUUGACCAUCUGCAUGACAUUGAUGAUCGCUCGUUCGGUCUUGCCCCUCAAAAGUACUGGGUUACCUAUUAGCGAAGAUAAACUCUGGAUCGGUCCGUCGUCCAACAUGUUUGAGAGGUCUCGAAGAUUCUUCCACUCCGAAAAUGAUGCCUAAAGUGGAUUGUUGAUUGGAUUUUCGACUCCAUUGAAUUUGAAUUGUCAUUCCACCUUGUGCCUUCAUGGAAAGGGCUUUGGCAACUGAGAUCUUGGCAUGCUGGCAUAUUCUUCAAGUGAUGAAAGAAUACUGUGGCAUAUUCGUCAAGCGUGGCAUACUUGCCCCGUGCUAAUGCCUUUUGACUCUAAUUGCAUCAUUGUGGGAUUAUUUAGGUCUUCUCGCCUCGAUUCUUUCAUCACUUGUAUAGCCAAAAGUAUAUAUGUGUCUUUCAAAGCUCUCUUCGAAAGUGUCACUAUGGAUAGAGUCACCGUCCAUCAGAAAGAGAGUUUAAGAGCGACAUGGGUGCUGCUUUUGCCUCUUGCAGAAACUCCACCCCAAGAACAAAUUGGAAAUCGUCUCCCGCUCCAAUCUUAAUGUCGACUCCCUUUGUCAAUUCGGACAUAGGCUUCGUCUCCAAAUUGACUGUAUUCAUUCGGCUCGAACUUUUUGCUAGCUUCAAUACGAGCCGGUUAGCCUCUUCAUCUGCUAUGUAAUUGUGUGUGGCUCCUAUGUCCACCAAUGCGUGAGUCGCCUACCCAUUCAACUUGAUGCCCACGAACAUUAAUAGGUUAUCUUGUGCCUUUGCCUCUUUUGGCAUUGCCUUAGACCGCUCCCCACUUGACAUCAAUGUAGUGCAUUCAACAAUUGUACUACCCCAAUGCGAGAUCGUUGUGUCGAUCCUUCGUCACUGCUCAACUCUGACAAACUUGAGCUUGAAGAGUUAGUAUUCUUCUUUAGCCUCUGCUUAGGCUUCUCUCGAACUUCACCUUGCAAUGCGUUCAACAAACGCUUAGCUCCCAUGCGAGGUCUUGACGAUGAUUCGUCACUACUUGAAUGAGACUUGUUCGAGCUAGAAGAUUUUUGCCUUCGCUCUGCCCUUCUCUGGUUAGAAAGAAGUUGUAAGGGCAUUAAACGCCUCUUUUUGUUGCGAGCAUUCUAACAUUUGAUGCUUUCCACCCCACAAAAGACAUAUGUCAAACUUCGGGACGUUCCCUCUGGAUCCAUGUCCUAUCGGAGCAACAAACUAUGUGUUCUCUGGCAUGAGUUGAGUUUGUAAUUCCCUCUUCAAGGCUUUACAAGUGUUGAUGUUACAAUAACUUUGUUGCAUAUCUUCCCAUCGUGUGCGCCACCAUAGUUUUGCAUCACCAACAAGAUAUAUCGUAGCUAACAACACCUUGGAAUCUUCUAAUUUGGGUUGUGUCUUUAUGAAGCAUUAUUCCAAAUUGAAGAGAAAGUUUUCUAACUCAUGGCAUCUCAAGCACCCUAGUAGCUUUGCAGUUAUGGAGCCCUUAAUCUCGAUAAGAGAUGGUCGCGAGACAUUUCUCCGCUCGCAUGCGUAACUUGUAUCAGUACCGACACUUGAGCCAUCAAGUCCCUUACUUGCCCUUGUAAGUAUUGCACAGACUCUCACAUGUCAUCCAUCAACCUUUGACUCGAACCUCUAGCUAAUCCAGUCGGGAUUCCAACCUGUUUGCACGGACUCUAUCAUCUCAAGAAGCUCCUCGCUUCUGUAGAGAUUCGUCAAUUUUUGGUUGAAAAGGUCGAACUGCAACUGCAACUUGGCCACUCUUUCUUUGGUGCCUUUUUGUCGUUUAGGUAUCUCUUCAACUCUUGCCUCUUUUGCGUAAGAGAACUCUUGCACUGUGAGCCUAUCGCUGCAAAUGCCAUGCUCCACUUGAGUGGCUUUGCUAAAGCCCACACGAGUGCUUGUCCGUUUCUCUGAAACGGUCACGCAUUGUUAUUGCCCAUCACGUACAGUGGUGCUGGUUUUGUCACCCUACCUUGCCAUGGCAAUUCAAUAUUUGCUUUACUCGUUAUGAUACCACCCUGUCGCGACCUUAACCACCCAAGAGAUAUGCAUUCGCAAGGGUCAGCCUAGAUCUUAACCUCGUGCAAUCUACAAAGGACCUGCACAAUGAAGAAAAGGUUAGAAAGGCGAAUGUGCGGGUAAUUUACUAUUGUUGCGCAAGAAAAGGGCAAGAUAAUCGGGAUCCAAAACAACCAGCAUUUGUUAGGCUCAAAAGGGUCUCGAAAAACGGGCUGAACGAGCCCACACAAGGGGGGCUCCGAAGGUAAAUGUAGACCCAUUGCUCAUAUGGUACUUUCGUUGAAUAGAAAGUGGGCACACUAAGGACGUUGCAUCAGCCCUUAGACACUUACCCAAAGUCCCAAUCGUUUCGGUGCCACUUGGGGGGUUCUAAGGUACCAAGAUGGUUGACGUUUUGCAUCACUAGGUCGUCAGUCAGAAAUCAGCCUGUUGUCACGGACUUAGUUGGUUUUGCCUAAAUCGUGCGGCACCCUUGCGUGUCCGUCCGCAAAGGUCAGCCUCCCCAAAACCUCCCAUGGUCCCUUAGGACCUACAAAAGAGAAAACGGGUUAGAGAAAGCGCCUCACUCAGGAUCCACAAGCAAACAUUUUCGAAAACACUUCAUAGACAAUGCAAAUUACAAACAGACUUUACAAGCUCUGAACGGUUGUACAACAAAGGGUCAAAAUGAUCCACUACAGACCAAGUAUUUCUCACAAGUAUCCACACGACACAACCUUUAUUUACAAGCUUAAGAAGGCCACCAAACCCAACUAAAAUGGAGCUGUGAAGCCUUCGACCGUUCCUCUACAUGCUGUGCAAAGCAUGAACAAAUAGAAAGACACGGACAUACAUAAGUAUUACAUUAAACAUCCUGUUUAGAACUUUGUCCGUGACAUUCUCCCCCACUUAUUUCUUCGACAUCCUCGUCGAAGCCUUUGCCGACACUGCAACUCCUCGCCUUUGCUGAGUCUUCAAUCUUCUGCUCCAGCAGCAAUGCGCCUCUUGACUCCCAACUGCUCUCCGCUGUUGUUUUUGAGUAGUCGAACCUUUGAUCCGUCAUGCUGCUUCAACUCGCCAAUGACUUUGACUAUAGUGUGGGGUUGGCUGAGUUGUGUUGAUCCCUGUUAGUUCCUACGGAUCCUCCAGAUGAAGGAAAAGACCAUCCUUACUAUGCGCUAGUCUCUCAAAUGCCUCAUGCUGCUUGAACUGGGUGGAUGAUUGUUGGAGCUUUAACGAGCAUCGCCUCACAAACUUAUGAAGUUUUGGGUCCUUCCUCCACAAAAUUUGCUUAUCGACUCUUUUUUCACUUAGUUGUCACUUCCAAGUAGAUUCACAUCGCUUCCGCUUUCGAUUGGCAUUCUGUUGAGAAAUGAAGUGGAUAAUAUACUCUCACUAGCACUGAUCACCAUUGGUGAGGAUUUGACAACUAUUGUCUUUUAAUAUCUUCGAAGGGUCUUUGAACUAGUGCAGAGCUCCUCUGCUGGAUAGAUAAGAGAAUUGGGGUACUCGGUUUCGUCCAUUCUCUUAAGAGUAGAGAAGGCAAUGGUUACUUGACUUCGCCUACCUCCUCAAGGGUUGUCCUCUAUGCAUCGAGCUGGUUACUGACCUUCGCCUACUCUUUGCUCACACUUCUGAAGCACUCGAAGUGUUUGCACUCAUUGCAUUGAGUUAGCUAUUGUGAUUCACCUUCUCAUUGCUAUCGAACUUCUGAAAUACAUGAAGUUUUCACCCCAACUUGGAGUAAGUCUCUAAUAGUUUUGGUCGCCUCUGGGAUUGUACUAUCUUCUCCAUCAACCCGGUUGCCUACUCCACUGAGUAGCAAAGGUACAACACCGCGUACUGCCCGCUUCAUUCCUUAGUCGUGCACUCUUGCAUGACCCGAAGUCCUUCACUUUCGGCUAUCUUGAUGAGAAGCUCGUUGAUACCAGUCUUACGAAGUUCCUUGGCCUCUGCCCUUCAGCAUUGUCUUGGUACUUGGAGUUUGCCUCUGCAUGCUCCACCUCCUUGGCGCCUUUUACAACCAACCGCUCUCCUUCCAUGAGAGCAACGGAUCAAUGACUAAUGGAAGUCCCGCCUCUGCGAUAUCAUGGCGCUGUCAUGCCCAUGGCCCUACUAUUCGUCACCUCGCAUCUGCAUCCCUUUUCUUCACGAUCAGUAGAUAUGUCUCUAUGGCACUCCUCCGAGUCCACCUUCAUUCUAACUUAUGCUUGAUUUUAGGUAGCUAAGUCCCUUUGGACUCGUCGUCGCUUCCUCGCCCCUUUCGACCCCUGCUUCAACACCUCUGUGUUAUCUAAGCAACUCCCUUUGGUCGAUGGAAAGAUAGACUGCAACUCCCAUACAUGGCCUUUGUCAUCACGUUGUAGGGUUUGCACCGAUUCUGUUCAACUUAGCUUCCUUAGUAGCAACGUUCGCUUACUCGACCUUGUCCUCUGACUUGCCGGGCUCCCUUAAACGAAUAUGGGCUCUGGAGCAGUUCAACUCUCCAGCUUCUUCGAUCAUACCUUUACAUGAUCAAGUCCCUCCCAUGGGACUCAUUGGUACUUACAUUCGAACUUUUCCCUCGGUGGUUCACAACCCCCAUAUGCUGAUGACCAAGGCUUUCAUCCGAUGCAAAAUUCGAUGCACGCAUGGAAGACCUGCCUCUGUGGCACCAUGACCUUCACUCCUUGAAUCCAUAGCCCUUCUUGCUGUCGUGUUGUUCACCGAAGUGGAGCUCCCAGUAGCUCCCGAUCAUACCUCUGUAUGAUAUAGUCCCUCACGAGACUAUAUCGUGUGUAUCGCAUUGCCACGAACUGUUCCACCACGAUCCACUGCACCAUGUCGCCUCCUGGUGACAUCUCUAUUGCAUUCUGAUCCUUGUGGGAUGAACUCGAAUUGUGAUCCCUCCAUGUGUGGCCUCUGCCAAUACAUUGCAGGGUCUCUUCUACCUUCAAUUUUGUUCGCUCCUUUGGCAAUCGAUAUCCACCCACUCUUGGGUCACACCUAGAUGAAGCACUGCUCUAGGACAGUCCGUCGCCUAGUAGAUCCCGAAGUCCACCGACUUCGCUGUGAUUAGUGUACCAUUGUCUGGAUCCUGGGCCUUUACCCCUACCAGCACAAUCUCCGUUGUGCACCGCUUCCUUCAUGGCAACUUGAAUGGCAACACUGUGGCAUAUUCUUUAAGAGUACCCGCCUCCGCAUCCUCUUGCUCUGUGCCAAGGCCUUUUGAACCCAACUUCGCCUCCGUAAGUUGAGUCGCCUUAGUUCCUCCAUCAAAUGCUUCUCCGAGAUAAGGUGCAUGUGCCCAGACGCUCCCUUCAUCUUUGGCAACAUGCAAGAUGAGUCUGUUCUAUCAGAAUGAAGGACCACAUGAUCCUGCUCUUGCCUCUGCAAGAGUUCAUGUCCUUGACCUCUGUCCAAGGAAAGCUCUGCGCCUCUGCUCCAUGUUUCAUCUUCUAUGCCAGCUCACUUCACGCGGCUUGGGUACUUCGCCAAGUUACACCCAAGUUGCUCCGCUCCUCGUUUUUGCAUUGAGUUGAUGGUGGCCCUCGCGCCCACCAUUCCACGGGUCAGCCCUCCCUUGAGUUUGAUCUCCAUAUCGACUCCAAGUGUGCCUUCAUUUGUGUUGCUUUGGGUCGCUCCCCCACUUGAUCUCGCAAUGCAUCCACUAAUGCAUUCUCUCAAGCGAGAUCAUGCGAUGACUCCUCGCCGCUUGCUCGGUCCAUUGAGCUUCGUGGAGUUAUUGUUUUUGAGGUACUCCUCCUCAACAUGUGCGGUCUGUUGCACAUGAUUCUCCCUCUGGAGAACCGGGACCUAUCCCUCCUUGAUAUCUAUCCCGUUGGAGCGACAUCUCUCUUCGCUUCUUCUCUCUGAAAGUUUCGGAGACCACCAUCCCCUUGGACUAUUCCGAUUUGCUGAACAAACCGUGCAUUGUUCUGCCUCCUGCAAACGCACUUGCUAGAUUGCGACUCCACAUCAAUACAGCCCCUACUGCACCACUCAAGGCCUAGCAACAUGCUGAACUCGCUGCACACUUCAGCCUCCUACAGACGUAUUCUUCUCAUGUCGAAGAGAAAGUUCUAAUGCUCAAUGACGCCGAGUUUCGGUCGCCUUGGGAUGGCCGCGAACAUUCCAUCGACCGCAUACAAGCCCUUGCAUGAGUACCGAAUUCUUCGGGUUAACAAUUCCCCUCACCUUUGUGAGCUUUGCACGACUCUUUCGAUCGCUGAGUAACUCAUUCCACCUUGCAUGGUCUCAUCCUUUACCAAGCGCCUCGCUUGCCUUGAGCACUAUCAAGUGUAGUUGUCAACAUCGAGCCGUAGCUCGAACUCAGCCAUUCCAACUUUUGUGCGCUAUGCAUUCUUCCAAGCUUGCUUAUUCUCAUGGUGCCUCUUGCGCGAAGGGUUGGCCAUUCCUCUGAAUGCCAAUCUCAGAUGCCCGCUCCUCCGAGCGACUCCUUUUCCCUACAUCUCCAUGCCCGUUUUCCCCCAAACGGUCGCGCGUGUGCUGACUGCCUCAACGCAGCCCCGCUAGGUCCCCUACAUUUGCAUGCCAAGUGUUUUUAUGAGUGCUUGUCCCGCUCUGAUACCAUCUGUCACGGACUUAGUUGGUUUUGCCUAAGUCGUGCGGCACCCUUGCGUGUCCGUCCGCAAAGGUCGUCCUCCCCGAAACCUCCCAUGGUCCCUUAGGACCUACAAAAGAGAAAACGGGUUAGAGAAAGCGCCUUUUUCGGGAUCCACAAGCAAACAUGUCCGAAAACACUUCAUAGGCUUUGCAAAUUACAAACAGACUUUACGAGCUCUGAACGGUUGCCCAACAAAGGGUCAAAAUGGUCCACUACAGAUCGAGUAUCUCUCACAAGUGUCCAUAUGACACAACCUUUAUUUACAAGCCUAAGAAGGCUACCUAACCCAACUAAAAUGGGGCUAUGAAGCCUUCGACCGUUCCUCUACAUGUUGUGCAAAGCAUGAACAAACAGAAAGACAUGGACAUACAUAAGUAUUACAUUAAACAUUCGGUUUAGAACUUUGUCCGUGACACUGUGGCAUGUGAGAACGGAGUAAUUUUUGGCCACUUUUCUUUUCAUGUGGUGCCGCACAGCUAGAAACGUUUCCAAGUUUUACAUGAUGAAAACAGGAAACAAAAACAAUGACAAUAAACAAAAAUGGGACUGACUAUAGUGUUUUCUGCCCGCACAAGCUGCCCCAAAGAAAACAACGAAAACAUGAAGAAAAUAUUAGAAAACAAUAACCGAAAACCAUCAUGGACAAGCGAUGAACACCUUGGCUGCAUUGUUCCAUGACAUAUCGGUAUGUAUCAAUUGGACUGUUACCACCGGUUGGCAUGAUACUGCUGUACUUGAUAUAUAGUCAUAAUGUAUCAUGAACUUUUAUAUUUGAAUUUCUGAAGCAGUUCAACAAAUAACUGUUACUAAAAAAUAAUUAAUUUAUGAGGAUUGGCAUCAGUUUCAUAACAUAUCAUGAACUUUUAUAUUUGUAAUUCUGAAGCAGUUCAACAAGUAACUGUUACUAAAAAUUAAUUAAUUUAUGAGGAUUGGCAUCAGUUUGUGCCCUUUUGGGAAUUAGUGUGUAUUGUUUGUCAAAUGGAGGGGGUUGACUUGCUGGCUUAAUUGUUUCCUAAUUCAAAAUUCUUCUUAACCUUCUGUCCAAGUGCAAAUAAUUCUAAUAUAAUAUGUUAGAUCAAAAUAAUGCAUUGCUGUUUUAUGUUGCUGUCCCAUCAUGUAAAUAAGCUGAAAAACUUGAGAAUGCAAUCAUGUGUUGGUUAUGCAACCGUGAUUUUUGUAGUCAUCAAAUCUAGAAAAAAGUGUUUAAUGGAAGAAACUUAUUUCAAUUUAUACUUACAAGAUAAGCAUUUCCAGAACCAUAUUUCUCCCUGAAGUGUAUUCUAAUUUAUAGGUUUCUUUCUGUGUGUCUAAAACCAUUCUUUGGUAGAUAACAAGGUCAUCAUUCCAAUUGUGAGCAAUUGAUUUUAAGAAUAAUCAACUCACUGUAUUUUUGUUUUUAGUCAUGUUGUCUAUAUGAAAAAUGAUUUAUGCGCUGAUUUUCACUUGAUAUGCUUGGCUUAUAUCAUUCUACAAAUUUAUCAUCAAUAGUCUAUAAGAUAUUUGAUGCUUAAUCAUUCAGUAAGGAGGAAGCUGGAAUGAAAACUGCUAAGUUAAGGGAUGAGAAAGAGGUUCAGGAUAGGCAACUACAUGCGGACAUAGAGGUUCAACAGAAUUUGGAAGAAAAUUUUCAACAAUUGCUUAGUCGAGAAAAGGAGUUGUCAACUCAGGAGGAUGAAUCACGAAAGAGAUUGAAGCAGAUAUUGGAUUCAGUUGCAGAUUAUAAGAAAGAGCUCGACAGGGUUAAGAAGGAUUUGCAUAAGAUUUCAAAAGAUCGUCAAAGUUCGGGGUCAGUUGAUAUUCUGUGUUCAAAGUUCUAAAUUUUUGCGUGUUAUUAUCUCAAGGGGGAAUUUAAGAAUCAGCUUAAAUAUGUGAAUCUCUUUUUUCUGGGCAACCUGCUUAUAAUGUCAUAAUUCACUUUAUACUAUUUUCCAUUCUCUUUGUGGUCCUCAGGACAAAGUAUCAGAGUCUAAAACAGAAACUUGAUGAAGUAGAUCUACAAUUACGAGAACUAAAAGCUGAUAAACAUGAAAGUGAACGAGAUGCUCGGCUCUCUGAAACAGUUCAGAGUCUCAAAAGACUUUUUCCAGGAGUUCAUGGUCGUAUGACUGAACUUUGCAGGCCAUCACAGAAGAAAUAUAACCUUGCUGUUACUGUUGCUAUGGGUAAAUUUAUGGAUGCUGUGGUGGUUGAAGAUGAGAAUACAGGAAAAGAAUGCAUUAAGGUAAAGCCUUUGAGAGGUUAGCUUUAUAUUAAAUUGCAAAGAUAUCCUUUAUGUUAACCGAUAUGAUGGUAAAUAUAUUUCUUUACAGACAACUGAUUUUACUAAAUGGCAGGAUGGUUUUGUUCAUUUGUGGAGAUUACAAUUUCUAUUUGUCCUAUGAUGAACUUAAACUAUUUUCUUCUCCAUGGCCAUCUUAGUGAUGAUCUACUUAAGUAUGAAAGCCAACUUUAAAAUCUUUAUCUUAUUCUUUUUCUAUUAAUGUAAUUUAUAUACCAAUAUGAAGAUGCAUACCUACAUGUAAAACACUAGUGGGUGGCAUACCUGACUCACUACAUUAGGUUGAGUGUUCGAAACCUCAUGCUACAAAUUUACACCUAAAACACUGCAGUCAUGGUGGUAGUUGGUGGUACUAGUGUACCUAAUUCACUUUCCUUAGGUUGAGAGUUUGAAAUUUAAUCUAAUAAAAUUUUUAAAACCUGAAAGACUAAUCUGACAUGUACCUGAUUUACUUACCUUCGGUUGAGGGUUUGAAACCAUGUUCAACAAAUUUUAUAUAUAAAAUAUUUGUUUGAUGCAAGGAUCACCAAAAUUUUGUAUAUUAACUUUGAAUCUUCUCCAAAGAUACGAGUUGAGAUGCUAGACUAUGUGUCAAAACUUUAUGAUUUCAACAAAUUAGGUAAUAAAUGGAAGCAACUUGUUUAUACGUUCUUCUACCACCAAAAUAAACAUCGGAACUCGGUAGCUGUCCUUAAUAUUUAUGAAAUAUAAAGAUUUGAUCUAUUAAGUGUCUAAUUUCGAAAAAAUUAAUAUUAAACACACUAAUCAGAACAUCAAAGACCUUAAUACUCCUUAAUUAACACUCUUCUACCAUCCAUAACAUAUCAAACAAUAUAUUAGACAUUAAGUUAUAUAUCAUACAGAAUAGGCUUAAUCGUCUCAUAAAUCAAUAAAAUCUAGAAAGAGAAUGCAUAUUGAUUAGAGUGUUCUUCCUCUUAGUCCUCCCAAAUUAGUCUCCUAAAUUUGAUCCAAUCCACAAAUCAUAGCUUUGUUGAGUUUAGGAAAGUGAAAAUAUGAUAAUAAGAGAAAGAUGUGAGUGAAAAAGAGCUUGAGAGAGUUUAAGAGAUUGAGAGAGUGAAAUGAGUUGGUAGAGGGGGGAGGAAAGGGUUUAAAAACCCUUUUCUAAGCUUAAAACAGUCAAAUUGANNNNNNNNNNNNNNNNNNNNAGUCCUCCCAAAUUAGUCUCCUAAAUUUGAUCCAAUCCACAAAUCAUAGCUUUGUUGAGUUUAGGAAAGUGAAAAUAUGAUAAUAAGAGAAAGAUGUGAGUGAAAAAGAGCUUGAGAGAGUUUAAGAGAUUGAGAGAGUGAAAUGAGUUGGUAGAGGGGGGAGGAAAGGGUUUAAAAACCCUUUUCUAAGCUUAAAACAGUCAAAUUGAUCGUUUGAAAUAGGGCAAUAUCAGCCCUUGAUUGGUAACGAUCAAAAUUCGAGCGUAUCGACCGGUACAGGUUGGUAACGGUCGGAUUUUAAUCGUUACUGCCUAGUACAAACCCCGUAUCGCUUGAUACAUGAUUAAGUGACCGAUACCUCUUGGUAGUGGACGGUCAGCAUACCGGUAUGUAUUGCCCGUAUCGGGCGAUACUCAUCGGUACAACAAACACACACUAGACAGAACACCAUUGUGCAUGAUGAAAUUAAAAUGGGACAUCGAGAGGGGCGUAAUUCGAUCAAGCGAGGAUCAACGAGGAGCCAAUUGGCCAACAUCUUACCUUGCACCACUCAUAUGUCAAGACAGUUGCCCCAUCAGAUAGCAUGUAGCCAACCAUGACUCAAAGAGACUCCAGUGGCCAAUAAAACAAGGCAAUCAACGACAAAACACCGUUGUACAUGAUAAUAGUAAACCGAGACAUCGAGAGGGACAUAAUUUGAUCAAGUAGGGAUCAACGAGCAGCCAAUUGGCCAACAUCUCACCCCGCACCACUUAUAUGCCGACACGGUUGCCCCAUUGGACAGCCCAUUGCCAGCCAUGGGUCAAAGAGAUUCAGGUGAUCAGUCAAACAUGGCAAUCAAUGACAGAACUCCGUCGUGCACGAAGAAAAAGGGACAUUGAGAGGGACAUUGUGCAGAAAUUAACGAGCAGCCAGUUUGGCUGACAUUUCUCUCCGUACAUCACUGCUAUGGCAGCAGGCGAAAAAUGACAAAAACGAGGAGAUCCAUUCACACUGCUCACGGUGGUCGCCAUUUGAGAUUUAAUGAGAAGCAAAUACAGCAAGGGGACAGAUUAAAGCCAUGAAAAGUUUCUUCAUUGCAUAAUGUGGAGGGAGGAGGAAAAAUAUUGUUAUAUAGCACAUAAAUCAUGCAAUAAGUUGGUUUAGGUUAUGCUUUUUGUGGAACCAAAGUAACAAUUUUGGACAAGUUGGUAUGUUUAAUUUGUUAACUUUUCUGCACUGUCUAACUUAUGGGAAUAGUAAAACUAUCCAUUUUUAUGGAGUUGUAUACUAUUAAUGGGAUACUUCUUGUUAAUGAUAAUUGAUUUUUAGCUUUGAUAUCUUUUAUGUUAUCAUAGAGCAACUGGUUCUACCAUUACGACAAUUGUUUUUGUAAUUACAGCUCUGUGUUGAAUCUAUAAUUCAUUACAGUGCAAAUUACUGUUAAGUGUUAAUACAAUUUAAAAUUCAUGAUAAGAUCUUUUGCUUUCUAGUAUUUGAAGGAACAACGGCUUCCUCCCCAGACAUUCAUCCCCUUGCAGUCAAUUCGUGUCAAGCCAGUUAUCGAGAAAUUACGUACUUUAGGUGGGACGGCACAGCUGGUCUUUGACGUGAUACAAUAUCCUUUUUAUUGGAUGUUGUGAAUUGAAAGUUUUUCUUAAAUAGCAAAUAGACAUGAAAACUUAUAGUUUCAUUCUUGUGCAGGUAGAGCAUUCUUUUUAUAUAAUACCUUUGCUAUUUUAGUUUACCUCAUUAGAUUUUACAUAUUGUAAGCUAGUGAUGAAAAAAUAUGGUUUAUUUAUGGCAUAACAAGCUGUAUAUGCUUGGAAGUUUUGUUAACAACAUGGCUAUUAAUAUUUCUUACAUCUUUUCAGUGGUCUUGCUUAUUUGCCAUCAAUAUUAUUAAAGCCUGUUUCUAGUUCUGCAAUUUCUAUUUAAUUUUUUAAUGAUGUGAAUUAUGCAAGUAUAGUCAUUUCUUUUUUUUGGGCUGUGGAAUUUGACAUCUUUCAUCAUGCCUUCUGUUUCUGAUUUUGUUUUCCCUUCACAUGUGAAACGAAUAAAUUCACCUUCUCUUAAUUGGUGCAACUUCAUAAGUUUCAUUACUAUGUUUCCCGUCUCUAUCUUUUGUUGGCUGCCACAUAUCUAUUUAAAUUUUCUCUUCUGUUCUUUUAUAUCUUGUUUAUUCUGUAAAUUAUCGGAGGUUCUGAGCAUGCUAUUCUGGCAUCAGUGUUGACUGUUGAUUACUAGAUUUGUCUUUGACAAAGGAUCAGUCAUAAUAUUUCUUUAUGCUCGCCACUUCAUUGUGUGUUUGCAUUUAAUACAUUUUCUUUUUAAUAUUUUGAUCAAUGGUUGAAAGAAGGGCUGACACAUUACCAUGUAUCUUGCUUUUCAUUUUUGAAACUCUUCUGUUAUGUCUGAUUCUGAUGAUAUUCAUAAAAUUUAUUGUUGCAUUAUAAUGAUUCGCCAAUCACAUGGUUUAAUUUAUUUCAUACUAUGCAUGUAAGCUAAGAGUAUUAUGUUGUACAAAUGUUUAAUUGAACUAUAGUUUCUAUUGAUCAUUGUGGCCUCUUUUCCUUUUCUUUUUUCUUAACAUUUUCACAUUUGAUCGAUCCUUGGAGAAAGCCAUCAUAUACGCUGUGGGGAAUACUCUUGUAUGUGAUAACCUUGAUGAAGCUAAAAUUUUAAGCUGGAGCGGAGAGAGGUACAAGGGUAAAUGUCUCUUAACAAUUGAUUUUUAUCCUAUUUACCUUGUAUUAUGUGACCUCUUGAUUGUCAUAUGAUCCUAUCUAGUGGUUACCGUUGAUGGAAUUCUCCUGACAAAAUCUGGUACAAUGACUGGUGGGUUAAGUGGUGGAAUGGAAGCCAAGUCAAAUAAGUGGGAUGACAGUGCAAUUGAAGGUAUACAUAUACAUUCUCUCUUUGUAUCACUUGUUUUGAUUUUGUUUUACUUUACUCCUACUGAAUAUUAUUUUAUUAUGCAGCCCUUAAGAAAAGGAAAGAUCAAUUGGAAUCAGAAAUGGAAAGUCUUGGAUCACUAAGAAUGUUACAAAUAAAAGAGUCUGAAGCAUCCGAAAAGAUCACAGGGCUUGAAAGGAAAAUUCACUAUUCAAAAAUUGAGGAGGUAAUAUAGUGAAUAAUAGACAUAUAUCCUUCAAAUAACAUGCUGGACUAAAACAAUGCCUGAGGUGAAGUGCCUUAAGUUUUUUUUUUUUUGAUUUUUUUGCAAAAAGGUAAGAUAUUGAAUAACAGUAAGUAUUUUACAAGUACAAUUGACAUGCUCUCCUACCUUAAGAUAUUCGUUGAAUUGCUUUAGUUUAGCUGACUGUUGAACUGGUCUCUGUUUCGUCUUAUGUUGAUUUAGUGGAUUUGCUAAUUUAUAAAUUGUGAACUGUAUUUCUUGUUGUUGCAACACACUGCAGUUGCAUACCUUCAGGAUUUUGCUUCUAAGAACACUUGUGCUGGUUGUUUCCUUUUCUAUUCAUGUACUGUUACAGCUUUCUGCUGCAUGUACUAUUUCCUAUUCUCCAUUUUUCUUCUUGUCCCACCUUUUAUUAAGACCUAAGCUGGAUUCAUAACAUACUUGUUUUAGUCGUCCUGGGAUUUUAGCUUAGCAUAGAAACUGUCUCUAGACAAGCUUCAUUUUGUUAAUCAUUACCAGUUAAAUCAUUUUUAGAUUAGAGUUUGGUUUGUCAAUAAGAAUGCCUCUGAAGUAUGCUGUAACAAGCCAUAAUAUCCCAGCAAUUUGGAGCUGACUACAUGGAUUUUAUUUGCUCCAUCCCUGUACAAAGCAAUAUCUUUAGUUAAUUAUAGCAUGAUAGAAACUUAUAUCAUGGAGUCUAUCUUAUGUAUGACUAGUAAGUUCGGCCAUUAUUAAUGUCAAAAUGUAAAAAUUUAAAGUUGAUUCCUCAUGUAAUCCUAUAUUAAUAAGAAACUUACUAGAUACACUUCUUAUGGUUUUAACACUAAUGAUUGUACUAUUAUACAUUCCUUUUAUUACGGUUCUCCAUUUCAACCGAACUAGUAUGCAUCGGUUUGGAUGUGGAUUGCCCCUUUUGGAUGGCCUAAAGGCGGCAGUGAUUUAAAAAGCGCUAGGCGCUAAAAGGCACCAAGGUUCCAAAACGCCCAAGGCAUUAGGCGCUCGUCCGAGCGAAACGAGACGUUAAAAUAUAAAAAUAUAUAAUACAAUUAAUAAAUAUAAUUAUUUAAAUAAAAAUAUGAUAUUAAAUUAAGAAAAUCUUAAGUAUAAAGUCACAAUAUCACAUUAACAAAAAUCUCAAAAUUAAAACCAAUAAAUAAAGUUAGCAGUAUUAAAAUCGAAAUAAUAUAUUAUUAAUCUAAUAAAUAAAAAAUAAUGUUAACAGUAUAUUGUUAGUGUUAACAAUAUACUAAGUCGAGUGUGAGAAGAGACCGAGGUUGCUUACUGAGAGCAGCGGUAGCGGUGAGCAACAACAGUGGCAAUGGCGAACAGUUACAGUGGCAGCGAAGAGUAACGACAAUGGAGAGAGGCAGGGCGGAGAGUAGCGAUAGCAGAGAGUAGCGACGGCGGUAGUGAUAGCGGAGAGAGACAGUGACAGCAGAAAGAAAAUGUCGACGGCGGGAGUUAGGUUAGGGUUUGGGAAGUCGCGAGCGGUAGCGGAGAGGUUGAUAUCGAUGCUUUAGUUGGUUUGAUUGAACCAAUUAACGCAAAUUAUGACCAGUUGUAUCAUAGGGGCAAAACUACCUAGAGAAUCUAUCCUCAAAACUACUUGGAGGAUUAGUAAAUCUAUCUAGUAUUUGUUCUGUUGGAGGUGAAAUUUUGCUCUUUUGAGUUGAACAUUUCUUGAAUUCUAAAAAUCCGAGGCAAAGAGGCUAUUAAGUCAAGUAACCAACUCAAUGUAAAUAGUGCACCUUAAGGAGACUGGCAAAGUUACGGAAACUUGCUCUUUUCAGCCCUUAAGAGGAUGGGCGAGACCAAGUAACACAUUUCUUUUAGUUAUUUGCAAAGGAGCUUUGCACCAAGGAUUUUAAUUUUGAAUGAUACCGCUCGUAUCGGACGGUAUGUACCGGUCCGCCAAUAGGCCGGUAUGCGGACCGCCCACUACUAGGUGGUACCAUUAAUCUAGCCCCAUAUCGGACGAUACAGGGCUGUAUCGGGCGGUAACGGUCGAUAUUUUGAUCGUUAUCGCCCGAAACAGGUCGGUAGCGAUUGAUUUCAACCCUUGCCGCCCGCUACUGAGUAGUAUCAGCCUGGUUGUUGGCGAAGGAGAAGUGGGAGAAGGCGCUCAAAGAAGAGGUAGAAUCGGGAGAGCCUCGAUGCUUCCCGAUCCGGUGCCACCCUCCCUCGACGAUCCCGAUCCAGGAGGUAACAGAGAGGCGGCGGCUCGGCUUCUUCUUCGUCGCGUUCUUCGCCGAAGGCCGGAGACACUUGCGGCCUUCUCCACGUUCUUCGUCAAAGGCCGGAGACGUCUGCGACCUUCGACGUCUUCACCAAACGUCGCAGAAGAGGAGAAGACUGCGUUCUUCUCCUCGUCUGAUGCGAUAAGAAAAGGAAGCGACAUCACCGAUGCAGCGUAUGACGUCACCGAUGCGACGCCACCGACGCAGCGUACGCCUCCUAAGUGUGUGGAAUACAACAGCCAUCAACUCCUCACUAUUAGUGAUUGGACCUAAGAAGGGUAGUUUGGUUGCUUUAUCUCCCAACAGUGUGAUACAAAAAGUAAAGGUGACACAAACCUACUUGGAGGGAUAUGACUAAGGAAAGGAAUGGUCAAAUCUUUGAAGAACUCAAAAUUUCAAGUUUUGUGAUAUAUUGUUGGUGAAGCUUUGAUCGGCUCAUUCAUGCUCUUUGCUCUAGCUAGCUCACUAGUGCUCUUUUGAAAUAAUAUCCUUGAGAGGCUUGAAUGCAAAGGCAAAGACUUUCUUUUCCCAUCUUUUGGAAGAUUUACAAAUUUUUGGAAAGUUCAACACAACUCGAUAUACCCACAUCAAAUCUAGAGUCAGUCACUAAGAAAUUAAGAUAAUGUCAGUGGCUCAAAGUUUCGACUACUCAACAACAUUGAGACACCAGUUGGGAGCUAAAAGGUGUGUUGUGUUCAAAGGAGGUUUGCAGAUGCAACAUUUGAGAAACCUACACUGAGGACGUCGAAAGAAUAAGUGGAAGAGAAUGUCUUGGACUGCUUGUGUAGGUCUUAAUGCGUGAAGAAUUGUCCAUGUAUUUUAGUUUGUUCCAACCAUGUAACUCAAAGUCCACAUGGUAUUGAUAAUGUCCUUGUUCAAGUUCCAAGCCUCCUCGUUGUUCAUUCUGUUUAAGAAAGUUUACAGUACUGUCUUUAAAACUCCAUCAUCUUGCUUUACUGGUUCGUUUACUAUCUUUUUCCACUUUCAUCAUUUUUACUUAUCUAAUACUAUCAGUUUAUGUAGAUUCAUCAAUCCUUUACCAUAUAUAACUUUACAUUCCUUCCACAUAAAUAUUUACCUUUCUGGCGAGAAAAAAACGUUAAAUAUAAUUGUGACUAUUUUUAUAAGUAAUCAAAUGAAUGUAUCUUUUCUUUAAGUGAAUAUUAACAAUUAGAUGGCCAUACAAAGUAGCAAAAUUUAUUUCUCUUCUCAUAUCUAAAGCCCUUGAUUGCUUGUUUAAGUUAACCAUGCACUUUUUUUCAUGAUGAUUCAAAUACCUUUAAUUAUAAGUUUUUCAAUUAAAGGUAUUCCUUAAAUAAUUUUAUCUAAAUUUUCUAAAAGUUUUCUUUUGGUUUAAUUAUCCAAUCUAAUUUUAGGGACGUGAGCACUUACAUUAUUUGAAAUAUCUUUGCUUAAUGCAACUUUCCUGGCUAUAAUUUCUAUCCCCAAUCUGGGAUUCUUGCCCACAUUUCAAUGUUUAAUUUUUCAGUAUAUCAAAUUUUAAAUCUAAGACUAUCAGUCGCUCUGGAUUUUUUUCAUACUCGCUCUGUGUCCUAUUAUUUAUUAUGUUAGUUUUUCUUGUAAUCAUUAUAUAUAUAUAUAUAUAUAUAUAUAUAUAUUCUUAUUCCUUUUUAGAAAGUGUUCCUAAUUCAAAGUUAAUAACUGAAUCUAUCUUGAACCAACAUCUUUACUUGUAUCGGUCCAUGACAAUGCGAAAACCCUUCGACUAUUUUGUACCACUUCUAGGUGCUAUUGUAUUGGAUAGCUUCUGGAUGAUUUUGUAGCCUACCCUUCACGAUUCAAAGUACUUGUGUCAUGAGGGUGCUCAUGUUAUUUUUGGGUGGCAACUUAGCCCUAUAAUGGAAGUGGUUAAGAUCUAUACUCAAUGUCUCUGAAAUGUACAGUGUAUGAAAUCAUUUAUUGUACUGUGAUUUUUUUUUAACCUUCCUAACUUGUCCUCUCUUUUAGCAUUUGUUCCAAAGAUUCAAUAAGAAAUGUUUGCUAUAUUUUGUUGACACUUUUAAUCUUAAUACAUCUUUUGGAUAAUUGAAUUUUUAAUGUUUGAUUUGAGAAUUUAAGACUUUGGAAACAGUGGUAUGUCAUGAGCCCAUUAGAUUUGACAGGGUGUAACUGAUUCCUCACCCUGCUAGUUGUUAUGGAAGGUAGCAACAGUAGUCAUGUCAGCUUUUAGUCGUUUUUGAGUUGUAUCUUUUUAGACUGUUCGGUUACCAGACUCCUGGCAUAUUUGCCUGUAAUAUUAAGCCUGCAAGUGCUUGUAUGUCUGUUAUAUGUUGUUCUUUUUCAGUCAGUGUAUCUAGAUAUCCGGAGUUAUGUUUAUUUAAGCAUGUUGUACUUUCUACAUUUUCUGAAGCUAAAACAGAUCAAAAGUUUUUGAAGAAAAUAAUCUUUGUCAUCCUUUUCUCUUUGCUAGAAUUUUCCAAUCAUUAAAAUGUUUUGGCUAAUAUAUCCAGUUAUCGACUGAAUCAAUGGCCAGACAUUUGUACCUUCUGAUUGUUAUAUAAAUUUUAGGCUUCACAAUUUUGUUUAGAUAUUUGGCAUACUUCUUCAUUGACUCAUUGGCUUAUUUGUCCCUUGCUAUGAAAAUUACUCAAAGUAAAAUUGCUAACCUUACCAACUUUUAGAUUCUUACAAAUUUAGGAAAAAGUUAGGGUCAGUACUAGUUUCAUGGACAAGUCUAUUUAUUGACUUAGUUUUUGCCUUGGUUAGGAACUCAGCACUAACUUGAAACUUAAAGGUGCUGACAUUAGAUUGACGGUUGUAGAAUAUUCUCAAAAGAUGAAUGCAGAACACUUAUGUGAUGCUUUUUCUUUGCAUAGAAAUUAAAGUUCUUUGUUUUUACUUUGAUUGAUCAUCCAUAUUCAACUAUAAUUGAAUCUUUGCUGUUAUCAUAAAGUACAACAUGCCUAUAGUUUACAUGAAAAAAAUUGCAUGCAGAAAAAUAUUCAGGAAAAGCUUUCAAAAUUAAAUGAAGAAAAGCUAAAUAUUCGAGAGGAGAUUGGUCACCUUAAACCUGAGCUUCAGAAGGUGAUUUUUAAUCACAUUAUUUUCUUGAUUGCAAAUUAGGCACAUUGUGUUUGAUGGCUAGCUAUCCUUUUUAUGCAGUUGAAAAGUGUUAUUGCUAAAAGAACUGAAGACAUUCAAAAGCUUGAAAAAAGGAUCAAUGGGAUUGUUGAUCGUAUUUACAAGGAUUUCAGUGAAUCUGUUGGAGUGAAGAACAUUCGUGAGUAUGAAGAAAGUCAGCUUAAAGCUGCUCAAGAAAUGUAUGAGAGAAAGCUGAGUUUAAGCAAUCAUAUGUCAAAGUUGAAGUACCAGUGAGCAUUCAACUCUCUUUUCUUUGACCUAUCUUUCAUUUGAACUUGAAGUAUUAUUCUUGUAUCAAUCUUCUUUUUUAAAAAACUGGCCAUAAUCUACCUAUCAUGAAAUUUUCAUUUCACAAGUUUGUUGCUGCAUCAUUUAAUUAUGGAAGUUGAUCUUGUUUAUGAAUUUCACCGACUUGGUAUUAGUAUAUUGGUGCAAUUUCUUGCUUUCUAGAAAGGUACAACCAGUAGCUUUUUGUGUCCUAUUUGCUGUUUUCAUAUUUGACUAGCUUUAGCAGCUUCUCCUAAGAGCUUCACAAGAAACUGUAUUGCAUUAUUGUUAGUUAUACAUUACAUUUGAUCAUUUUAGAGAUUUACAAAAAAGUGCAAUGGUCUAAAUCAUGAUGUUGUUUUGUAAUGGAGUGAACCCAACUUUGUCUUGUUUAUAUUCCUCUUUCAUUAGGUUGACUUGUGUCUAAUUUUCAUGUCACAUUGUUUGCUGAAAUUCUGAGAAUUUGUGAAUUAUGUUAUGGAGUGGAUUGGACAUGUUCCGUGCUUGGGUCGAAUCAAUCAAGCCAAUUUCUUACCGGCUUUAGUAGAUGGGAUCUAGAUUUAGUCAAGAUACAUAUUUCUAACUGUUAAUUCAUUGUUUCUAACUUUUGCUACCAUUGCCACAACCACCAUCACUAUUCUUGCAACACUACCAUCUCUAGCAUGAUACUUCCACCACCAUAGAAACCAGGGUUUUGAAUACCGAUCUGUAUCGGCGUACCGAGCAGAGCUCGGUACGGUACGUACCGGUAUAUAUUGUCGGCACGCUAGGGCGUACCGAUGGUACACUCUAAAACCUUAAAAAUACCUUCACCUAUCACGUCAGGGCGUACUGAUCGGUAUGCCUCGGUAACGGUCGAAAUCCGGGGUGAUAUCGGUCAGUAUGCCUCAGUACCGAUCAAAACACUAGUACUGCCUGGUAGAGGACAGUCCGUGUACCAAUAUCCUCUCAGAUCGGUACGUACUGCCCGUACAUCGAAAUUAAGAACCUUGAUAGAAAUUACUGUCCUUGCUAGUUGCUACCACGACUGUCAUUCCGCCAUCAUUACCAUUCGCUGCCACAAAACUCCACCAUAAAUGCAAUUAUCACCUCUGCUAUAGCACCACAUUGCCUUGCCUCCAUUGUUGCCAUUGUCCCCACUUCUAAUGUUACUAUCGUCACCACCAUUGCCUCCGUCACUGCCACCACCACCACCACCACCACCACCAUCACCAUCCUUUCACCAUCUCCAUUAUUACUACCAUGGUGCCACAACCUUUCUCACUUACACUAUGUUGUCACCAGUGAUUUAAAAAGGCGCUCGGGCGAGGCGAGGCGAGGCUCGAGCGCCUCGCUUCACUUCCAGGCAGCGUGCUUCAAAGAGGCACCGCCUGGGCGCUCGUCCGAGCCCAGGCGCUAGGCGCUUCGGGCGAGCGCCUGGGCUAAACCAGGCGAUCGAACCAGGAUUUUAGGUCUGGUUCGGUCUCCGGUGUUUUAGUUGGUUCAAUCGAACCAACUAAAACCGAUAUCAGCUAUCGCUGCCCAACCCUAACCCUGCUCGUUGCUGCUGUCGCUCUCGCUGCUCGCUGCUGUUGCCGCUCUCGCUCCUGCUGCCACUGCUCGCCACUGUCGCUGUCGCUGCCUCCUUACACUCCCGCUGUCGCUGCCUCCUCCCGCUGCCGCUUCCUCUUUUCUCAAUCAGCAUCCCCUUACACUCCUCUUCCUUCUUCUCCUUCUGUAUACUGUUAACAAUAUACUAAUAAUAGUAUUUGAAUUUUGAAACUUUUUGUUAAUGUGACAUUAUGAUUUUGUAUCUUAGAUUUUCUUAAUUUAAUAACAUAUUUUUAUUUAAAGUUUUAAAUAAUUAUAUUUAUUAAUUAUAUUAUAUGUUUUUAUAUUUUAGCAUCUCGCUUCGCUCGGGCGAGUGCCUAGCGCCUCGGGCGUUUUUGGACCUUAGCGCCUUUUGGCGCCUAGCACUUUUUAAAUCACUGGUUGUCACCGUCGCUGCUGUCUCCAUUCACCAUUACUACGACGGCCACUAUUGUCUUUGCCGCCACCACCACAAUCACCACUAGUUAAGGAGUGAGGAGAGAACAGAAUCAGACUUUUCAUUAGGACAAGACAAGUAAAUAUCUUAAAUAUGUUUCCUUCUUUAAUUUCACAUGGAUUGAUAAAUAGAGAUGAGCCAACGAAGAUGCAAGCUGGAAAAUUGUUUUAUGAAGUUCUUCAUUAGAAGAAUCUUAUUGACUUGUUGUCAUCUUCAAUAAAUAGUGGAUCAAUCAAUUGAACCAAGGGCUAUAUCAUAGGAUCGUCAAUUUUAAAGUCUGGUAAAUAAAGCUAUUUCUCUUUAUGGUGUGGGAAUAAUAAUGGAGAAUAAAAGAAAUGUAGUUGUUGAUAAUAGGUAUGCAAUCAUCCAAUUGUGAAGCAGAUGCUUGCUUCAAACAUUUAGACAGCUGGAAGAAAACAUUUGACUUGAUAUUGUGAACACUAUUUUUUUUAUUCAUUAAAGUAAAAGGUAAUGAGCACAAAAGGUUUUGGAGUAUUCAGUUUGACAAGUGCUAUGUGUUGUCUUGACAUGAAUAAUUUUUGUGAACCAGUUGAAUCGUGUGCAGUCUUGGGAUACCUUACCUUGCAAUUUAUUACUGCAAACCUAAAGUGGGAACUAGCUGGUCAGGAGUUCUCAGUUGGAGUUUCUUGCAAGUUAUCUUUACACACCAACAACUGGAACAUGUAAAUUGCUUUUCAGGCUAUAAUUUUAUAGAUAAUGAAUUGUCAGCGACUACUUCAUACUGGAAAAAACUAAUAAAUUCCUAUUAGUUGUUUCAGAUCUGCAUGUUUUUUAAUUAAAUUUUCAUGUAACUGUAUCAACAAACCAACUGUAUCAACCAAUCCUGUGGAUAAUGGUUUGUGCAUUUAUCACAAGGUACUGUCUUGAGUUGUCUAAACAAUUGAUGAAUUUUAACUAAAGGUUGGUUAUCCAUUUAGAUUAAAUGUCAAGAUGUUUUCCAGUUUAUGAAUAUAUGCAGCAAGCGUUGAUGCAUAAAUUGCUUUAAUUCUAUUGUAGGCUAGAGUAUGAACAAAAGCGGGACAUGAAUACACCAAUUUCAAAGCUGGAAUCGUCUAUUGAUUCUUUGAGGGAAGAGUUGAAAAAUGUUAAACAGAAAGAGUAUGAUGUGGAGCACGCAGCAGCAGAAAUUUUAGACCAGAUGAAAAAAAUAGAACAAAAAGCUGAUGGUACUCAUAUUAUAUGCUUUGUUUCUAUCCACAUGGAUUUCCAAACUUGUCAAGCUCUUUAGUUGCUGCUUUAGCGUAUCCACCUAGUAGUUAAAGAGUAAUUUGUGUUUCCCCCAAAUAUAUUGUGCUGCUGGUUUAUGAAUUUACUUGUCAACUUUUUCUUAUUUAUGAGCUCAUUGAUUGUAUUAUUGAUUUUAUCAUUUAAGUUAAGUGAAUUCAGAAUGAAACAUGACUCAGGUGAUAAGUGUUCAUCUUUUAAGUUAAUUUCAGUAAAUGGGCAUCAUAAUCCAGGUUCCAUAUUUCUAGAUAUUGUUUAGGAAGCUUGUUUCAUAGUUCCAUUGUUGGUGCAACAGUAAAUUUACUUCAUUUUAACCUGGGCAUCAUGUUUGAGAUUCUGGAGAGGACCUCUUGUGAUGUGUGGUUAGGGCUUAAUAGUCUGAUUCUCUUCUAGACCUGGGGUGGAGAGAGUUAAGGAUGUUGGGUGCAGCUAGCAAUCUUCUUGUUAUGCUCAGUAUUUAGAGAGAGAGAGCUGGAGUCUAAACCAAGCAUACUGGUGAGCAAGCAUCAUGCUGGCAAGUCAAGCAUGCCCUUGUGCUGUGCAACUGGAAACAUUGAUGAUAAGAAGAUCUGCUUUUUAAAUUAUUGAAAAUUUUGGUGGAUGUUGAACGAUAUUUACGUAUAUGAGUGCAACUUACAGCAGCUACAGAAACUAGAUCAGAUGCAUGCUGUUCCAUAUUCCAAACAGACGGUUAUAAUUGAAAUUCUAAGAUGGAGAAUAUUGCAAUUGCAAGCUCAUCAUUAACAUUUGAUCUAUUAUUAUGGUUUUUGGAUCAAGUGCAAAUUCUGAAGUGUUCACUUGAAAAGCUGACUGUUUCUACUUUAAAUACUUCUAUGCUUGACAAUGUAACAUGGACGUAGGCUUGAUUAUUUAAUUAUUGUCAAUUUGCUAUUUAAACUUGGUUUUAUGCCCUAACAUUUAGUGACUUAUCUGCUAUCUAGAUUGGAAGGCUAAGUUAGAUGAGUGUGAGAAGGUCAUCGACGAACUAAAGAAGAAGAGUGAUAGUUUCAAAGGGACAAUUGGGAAGCUGCAGCGAGUCAUUAAUUCUAAGGUCAGUGUUAUUGGAUGUGACAUUUUUUUUUCCUUCAUGGUUUUUGGUGGUUUCGCUGUAGGGAUUUUGCUCAAUAAUGAUUUCAAUUUGUUAUGAAGAAAUCAGAUUUUCAUUUCGCUGCAAUACAUUGAUGAUUGAAAAGUAAAAUUGUGCUUAAGUUCAAUUUUCCAUUCAUAUCAAGAAUCUGAUCUUUUACAACAGGAGGCACAGCUUGAACAGCUUAGAUCAAAUAAGCAGGAGGUGCUUGAUAAGUGUGAGCUUGAGCAAUUGAAGCUUCCAACAGUUGAUGAUCCAAUGCAAACUGGAACUUCUAGUGUAUUGCCAGUCUUUGACUACACUCAACUGAGCAGAAUGUAUUUGCAGGAGAUGAGACCUUCUGAGAGAGAAAAACUUGGGCUAGAUUUCAAACAAAAGAUGGAUAAUCUUAUGGUUGAAAUAGAAAGAACAGCUCCUAACUUAAAAGCACUUGAUCAAUAUGAAGCCUUGCAGGGGAAGGAAAAGGAAGUUGUUGAAAAAUUUGAAGCAGCUAGAAAAGAAGAGAAAGAAAUAACUGACAGAUAUAAUUCUGUCAAACAGAAAAGGUACUGUUAUACAGGAAUUGUAUGCCAUCCUUUUAUAUUUUGGAUUGUUCAAAGUAUCCUAAUUUUGUUGUUUAUUCAGUGAUCUUCUGAAAAUAUUGUUAAGUUGCUAAAAAGUUUGUCUCGAAUGUAACUGAACAACAAGGAAAAGAAAAACUUGAAUGUUUGAAACAAAGCCAGUGCAUAAAGAACUUAUAGAAAUUUGUUGAAGAGAGAACUACUGUAUAUUAAUUGCCAAAACAUGGUCAACUUAGUACUAGUCUCCACAACCAUCUGGAAGUAUUAGUUUUUGGAUCUUUUUCUUUUGUGUUAUGUUGUCAAAAUUCUCUUUUUUCUUUUUUGAAAAAUUUGUAGUUGGUGCUUAAAGCAUUCAGGGGGUAAUUUAAACCAUGUGUGUAUUCUAGAAACAUAAAUUUCAUACUGCCUGAAUGUUAGAGCAUUUUUCCCAGCCAUCAUUUUCGUUACAAUAUCUUGUGCUUCUUUGGAUACUAUUAUUGUACAUAUUACAAGUUUGCUUCCAGACUUGUUAACCAUAUUUUAUUAAUGUGCUGUGCUUUAAAUCUGUUGUGAAAAUUUUCAGGUAUGAGCUUUUCAUGGAAGCCUUUGAUCAUAUUUCUAAGGGUAUAGACAAAAUUUACAAGCAAUUAACAAAGAGUCAAACACAUCCACUUGGGGGGACAGCAUAUCUGAAUCUUGAAAAUGAGGAUGAGCCUUUUUUGCAUGGAAUCAAAUACACAGCCAUGCCUCCUACCAAACGGUUCAGGGAUAUGGAGCAGUUAUCAGGUGGGGAGAAAACUGUGGCAGCACUUGCCUUGCUAUUUGCAAUUCACAGGUACUUUCUGUGGGGAACUUCUCUUUGGUUUGUUGUAUAGUAAUUUUAUGCCCUAUUUUGGCCACCACCUGAUUCUAGUUUCUCCUUUCAGUGGAAUAUGUUUUGAUUUUUGCUAAAUAACCACUUUCUUCGUGAACUUCUCCAAUACUCGUGCUUAAGCCAUCUGAAAAUGUGAUUCCACAUGUGAAAAAUUUCCAUGCUGUUUAAUUAUAAUUUGAAAUGCCAUUUGAAUUAUAGUCACUAUGUUGCUUUCUUUGGGAGUCUUUAUCUGAUUAUGGCAAUCUGCAUGGACCUAUCUUUAUUUGGCCUGAGGACCCAGAUAUUUGAAGAUGUUUUUACCUGUAGUUUACCUUAAAUAAGGCAUGCUAUUCAAGCCAUAGUGAAGCAGAUCUUUUCCAUCUGAACAUUUAUUCUUUUGUUACUGCUUCAGUUACAAGCCAUCUCCAUUCUUCAUUCUGGAUGAAGUUGACGCAGCGUUAGAUAACUUGAAUGUUGCCAAGGUUGCUGGGUUCAUUAGGUCAAAAUCAUGCGAUGGUGCUCGAGGCAGCCAAGAUGGUGAUGGAGGAUGUGGUUUCCAGAGUAUCGUGAUAUCACUCAAGGACAGCUUCUAUGACAAAGCGGAGGCAUUAGUCGGAGUGUAUAGAGACUCCGAAAGAAGGUGAUGCUAGUCUUUCUUGCAGGAUAUCCCUUACGAGAAUGAUUUUAGUAUUUUACAUCUGACUCAUAAUCUUAGUACUGUAUGAUUGCAGCUGUUCAAGAACUUUGACGUUUGAUUUAACCAAGUAUAGGGAGUCAUGAAGCCAUGUCAUGAGAUUAUGUUGAGCUCGUAAACAACUAAAUCAAGUGUCUUGACCGAUCCAGGACAAGCGAUCAGCUGCUGUAAAGUAUUUUAUCGUGUAGAUUACGACACUUGGAAAAUUUGCUCUUUUCUUGAAAUGUGUUUAAAUAUCCACUGUAGGAAAAAUAGUUGUAGUGGUUGUGAAAUAACUGUAUCAGAAUGAUGAUUGACAUUUAACUGUUGGUUCAUAGUGGGACGUCAGGCCCUUGAACAUUGCAUAGCUCUUAUAGAUUGUGGCAAGUACAGAAUUAUCUAUUUGCUCCAAAUUUGCAGUCCAUGUAGGAACAAUUUGUGGGAUGUUUAAGAGUCUGCAGAAAAGAUUCCGCGGCUCCCAUUUUAUGCAACUAAAAAUGGGGAACAAAAGAUGUAUGAUGAAAGUUGUACCGAGGAUUCAGACGUUUGUGGUGACCACUGGUAUUGUGCUCAGUAAGUUUGAUCUGCUACCGUGCAGAUCAAUGUCUUGAUCUUUUCGACUAAUAGGCAUUGGAUAAAAUGUCAGCUUAUUUGUAUUAUAUUCGGUGUCGUUAUAUUUCAGUAAAAUUGGUACUCCAAUAAGUUGGUGUUUUAGUCAUCAACGAGUAUGCCGUUCUUGCUUGCAAUUGUAUCAUCAUGAUAAUGCUUGUGAUAGUCUUCGAAACAAUAUUCUUAGCAAUGUAUAUCUUGCGGAAUGUAAUUUCCGCAGCCAAAGAUGGAGGUCCUCUUUGCGUAGGUAAUGCUUAUAAUUGGAUGGCACCAAGCUACUCAUCUUGAACAUGGAUCGACGUGCACAAUAUCUGUUAGCCUCUCUGCGUAGUGAAACUUGUGAUUGGAUGUAUGUGUGUAUAUAUAUAUAUAUAUAUAUAUAUAUAUAUAUAUNNNNNNNNNNNNNNNNNNNNUCUCUGUGUAGAGACACAUAUGUGUGUAUAUAUGUGUGUAUAUAUAUAUAUAUAUAUAUAUAUAUAUAUAUAUAUAUAUAUAUAUAUAUAUAUAUAUAUAUAUAUAUAUAUAUAUAUAUAUAUAUAUGUGUGUAUGUAUGUAUGUAUGUAUAUUUAUGUAUGUAUGUGUAUUUAUAUAUACAUAUACAUAUGCAUAUAUACAUGUAUAUAUUUGUUCAGGCUUAAAUAAAUGGAAAACCUAAUAAGUUGGUUGUUUUUUUUUUAUUAAUAGAUCUAAUAUGUUUUUGGUUAACAAUACCAAGUGGAAGUUAGUCCAUUAAUUCUCAUUUCAUCUCAUUAGGAAUACUUCUCUGGGCAUGAGAGAGUUGCUUCAAAGUUGAACAGGGAGAUGGAGCAACUUGGCUACUCUUUCCAGAUAUGUAAUAUCUAUAUAGAGUGGGAGGAUAUAUAUAAUUCAGGAAUGGAACCUCAUUUUGGAAAUCUAAGUAGCUUAGAGUGGGAUGCUUGGGAUUUUUUCUUCUGUAAAUUGUGACAAUAAAUCUGAAUUACUGUAAGAGGGCUUCCUUUCUCUUCUUUCAAGGAUUCUUUGGUCAUCUUCUUCCCUAAAAAAAAGGACACGGAACCAAGUUCUGAUGCAUAGUUUACAACAAGAUUCCAAUGAUAAUUAUGUAGUGCAUCUUUCAUGGUUAUUCAUAAAAAUAAACAUGGAACCAACUUCUUAUGCAUAAUCUACAACAAGAUUUUAAUGAUAAUUAUAUAUAUCUCCUUUUCGUAUCGGGUGCAGGAUAUAGACAAUAUGCAACCAUUUAUGAUUUAAGAUUGAAUUUUCACCGGUGACUCUUCAUAUUCAUUUUUUUUAUUAUUAUUUUUCUUUUCUUCUUCUUUAGAUUUUUCAUUCAUUCUUACUUGAUUCUUCUUCUUCAUCUUCAAAUUCUGCUGGUUGUUGUUCCUUUUCAGUCUAGUUAGAGGAGGAAAGGGUGAGAAGUGUGGUUUGUUCCUCACGAGCACCCCUAUUCCUGUUCGUGGGAUGCUCCUCGUCCCCAGGUCAAGCCUGUCAAGUUUGGAGGCACUUGAACAUUCGCGUCUCUCUUUGAGGUAUCUUCGCAACACUCCUAGACGACCUCGGCCUUUGCAGUCAGAGGUGCAGCAACAUUCAAUCUCCCAUUGUUUAUUCUGAGGGCCCCACGAGCUUGAAAGCUGACUAGCAGCGCAUCCAAUAUCUACAUUUGGAUCUUAUUAGUCUACUAAGCAUCCGUACGACACAAAGAAAGAAUUGGACUCAUCUUCGGCAAGAGCAAGAAGACAAAGAUACCACGAUGACCACCUCAGUCUAGCCCAAACAAGUGAAGCAUGCCACGAAAGGCCAAGGAGGAUGCUAGCUAGGAUAUCGGCAAGCUUAUUAUCUUGCUCCUCCUGCUUGAUUACCCUACCCUUAGUGGUGGUCUUUCAAUUCCAUGUCUAAGACUAGUCUUAGCAUAUACUAGACAAGGAAGAACCUGUUCCUCUAGCCUUUCACUGACCUCAGCAUUCCCCCAAGGGUGCGGAUAACAUUCAACUAGCACUCACCAAUAAAAAGACAUCUAAGUAACAUCUGUUGAGAUUUGAUUCAUAGUUAUCUAUCUAGAUUGUUAUCAUGAUCUAGUGGUUACAUGAUAAUUUCAAUAACCACUUCAAUCUUGAUCUCUAGUGGUUACAUGAUGAUUUCAAUAACCACUUCAAUCAUGAUCUAGUAGUUAUAAGGUGGUUUCAAUAACUACCUCAUGAUCUAGUAGUUAUAGGAUGGUUGUCACUAGAGACUCUGUGUGCACUUGGUAUCUUGUAAGUGUUCCUCCUGCUUUUAAUAUUACAACAGUUUUCUUGAGUCGAAAGGAUUCUUUUUACUCGUAUUUUAGUAUUCUGUUGUUCCUUGCUCCUUCAUCCCCAACAACAUCAGUCUCAAUUAUACAAUUAAAAAUAUUUCGUAAUUAUAAAAUUUUCUUGUUCAAAAAAAAAAAAAAAAAGGAAUCAGGCAGAAGUCUGAGCUUUAUUCAGGCAAAGAUUUACCUGCUGAUCUAUCGAGUUUCGGAUUUGCCAUUUGAGCAUGUUUGAUCACCAAGCUGCAAGUCCUUGGUUUCUGCCAAAUAGCAGCUAAAACAGAUACUGUCCCCUACAGUUCAGCUAAGCUUUUAUCCCACUAGUCCUUCCAUUUUGAACCCUUUUACUUCUCUAUACUCUUUAUUUACAGCACACAACCUUGAGGGCCAGAAGCCCAUGACUUUUCAGAUCCCCCACAUGGAUGCCGCUCUCCUCACAGCCUUUCCAUGCCUCCUGCCUGAUGCAUGCAUGCAUGCAGUGCAUGACAGGGGCCAGCUCUCUCUCCCCAGCCCACGAGAUUGGCUCUGCAAAGUAAGCUUCAGUAGGGUGGCAGGCAAUGAAUGGUAAAAGUGAAGAUAAAAUUGUGAGCCACAAAGCUCUCUGCCCGGUCCUUGGUAGACCAGGCAGGCAUGCCUUGAUGAAGUGGUCCUCUGAAACAAGGACAAUCGACAAGGGAUCCGUCCAAAUCGAUGCAGGCAUUCUCCACAUGGGAUUCUGUAACUUUCAACAGCCAUCCCUCAUGGCAUACCUCCAUCCCGGGAAACAUAUAUUGUUCCUUGGUACCAAAGAUUACACCAACGUCCAACACUAAUAGUGGUAUUACACAUCGAAAAGGACUUCAAAGCACAAGAACUAUUCACAUUGUUGAACUCCCAAACACCCAAAAGCCUCACAUACUCGAAAGUCAUCAGAGACUACAUAAUGAGGAUUCCAUAAGAGUUUGGGUGAGGCAGGGACAAUCUUUCAUAACAACCGAGUACCAACAAUGACAAUGCUUCCGAUCAGUCAUCGGUAAUACGUUCAAGACAUAUAUCAGAAGCUAAGCAUGAAUACUCUAUGAUGUCCAACACUGGCACCGAGAAGCUCCGAAUCACAGAGGCCACAUAGAGGGCAUUCAGGAGUGUGGUUUCAGAAGCUAUGGAGUUGGGUAAGCAUUGCCACCAGCUCAUCGCUCGAUGGUCGGUCAGCAGGCAAGUCUGACAGGCAUACAAUAGCGAUUCUGAUUGCCAUCAGCAUCUCCUCUUCUUCCAUCUCCUCCCCUAGGAUGCCUUUAUCCAAUGCUUCCCGAGCCUCUCCAGCUUGCUGCAAGUGCCUGAGCCAUCGGCCCAAGCUGCCUCUCCCUGUCUCUCCUGCAAAGAACGGAUAGGACGGGUCUUUUCCCGUGAAAAGAACGCCUAGGAUCACCCCGAAACUAUAGACAUCACUCUUGUCUGUGUACCUGAGGAACGUCGGAACCAACUUCAGGGAAUGCAUUCAUCAACUAGCGAAGCAUGGGAAAACCUCAAGCAUUCAUGUUAAGCACUAAAUUUCAGUAACCAUAACAAAAUAACAUUGAAUCAGAAUUAAUCCGCUUGAUCGGAAAAUGUUCAUGUUAUGACUAACAGUCUGCUUUUCAAAGUUAGCCUUAGCUCAAACAGGUCAACAUAUAAUCUGAAUUCAGGGACAGGAAUUCGGGCACCAUUGCACCUAGAAAACUUUGAUACUGUGGUGGAGUGUAUCAGCAUGCCAAGAAAAGCACUCCAAUUUCACAAGUACACGCUCAAAAUCAUAAAAGGACCAUAGCAUAAACUAUAGCAGUAAAGGCAAUGAAUGCAAUAGGCUAGUUUUUUUAUCUAAAGUGGAUUAGAUAAAGUUCUGUCCUAUGGAAAGCAGUCAAAAUUCUCAUUGAAAACCAAGCCUAUUAUCAUGUACCACAUCAAGCUUCUAGCUUUAAGAAGGAAAGGGAGUGGAUCACAAGAAAAGAAUUAAGGCACACAACAACUUCAGCACUGUAAUUGACAUCAAUGCUUUAGCAGUUCAUAAUAAUCUCAGUUGCCAAACGCAAAACGAAAGGGCUUUGUGAUACCUGCAACUCUGAAAACACUCGGGAGCGACAUAGUGAGUGGCGGUGCUCGGUGUAUCCAGCCGAGAGUUUUCCAGCAUCGCCAAUCCGAAAUCCCCUAAUCUUGGCUCGAACCCUUCGUCGAGCAUCACAUUCGAUGGCUUCAGACCGUAAUGCAGAAUCCUCCGGCUGCAUUCAAAGUGGAGAUACCUUAAUCCCUUUGCAAUUCCAACUGCAAUCCGAAGCCUCGCGUCCCAUCCAAGCGUCAGCUGCUGUGAGCGCACCCGCGCCAUCGCGUCCUCCAGGCUUCCACCGGGGAUGUAGUCGUACACCAGCCAGAACCGAUCUUGAUCACGGAUGUAGGCCCUCAAGCUCAUGACGUUCCGGUGCUUCACCCUCGCCAGCAUUUCCAGCUCAUGCUGCACUCUUCUCUUCUGGGAGUUGGAGUUCACAGGCGGAGAUCCACUGGAGGGGCUCGGUUCGAGCCUCUUCACCGCCAUGGUCAGCUCGUCGUCAUCCAGGACGACCCGGUAGUACUUUCCGUUGAGGCUCGACCCGAUCAACUGCAUCGAUUGGGCAUCGGUUGAGAGCAGAGACUGCAGUGUUUUGGGGGAGAUGGAGGGGCAGAACACGACGGGGCCUUUGAGAAUCGGUGCCCGACAGGCAUACAGGAGGAGAAGUCGAACCAGGAGCAGGAUGAUGAUGGAGGCGACAAAGCCGGUGAGCGAGCCAAAGAGAGCGCCGAGGAGGAUUCGGCGAAGGCGAGGAUUAUGGGGAAAUUUGGGAGUCCUGGAAGGGGAAGAAGGUGCUGGGGAAUGGAAGAGGGUGGGCUCAGAAUGGAGGGCUUGGGAGAGGGUGCUCUCUGGGGCUUGGAACACAAGGAAGGCAAGCAAGAGGAGGGUCUUGACGGCAAGGGUUCUACUAGGGUUUUGGCUCUCCAUGGAAGAGAAAGCCAAGAGCUCCCAAAAGUUAAAACAAGCGAUUCCAAUAUGGGAUUUUCCCGAGGAUAUGAGGUGGAGAACACAGCAAAAGAGCUUGAAAAGACAUUACGAACAAAGGAGAAAGCAUGAGAGGGGAGGCAACGCACAGGGUUUGAGAUGGAAAGGGCGCAUCUUUAGCGCGAGUUUUCGAAGGAAAACACAAGCAUGAGCUUUGGGCUUCUUCUUCUCUCUCUCUCUCUCACCCAACUAGUACGAAGAAGUGUGUCCAAGAUGGAAGGUUUAGCAGUAUAUUGGUGAGAAAAGAGAUCAACAGCCCGCCCGCACAGCAACCCAAGACACUCACAAGUUUUGAUGCAAAAUUGAAUUUUGCUUGAGCUUUUGCACCCACAGAGUAAAGAAACGAAAAGCUUGGGCUCACAGAAGACGGGAGAGCUUAUCUGAAGUGGAAACAGACUAACAUCCCCAUUGUCACCACAGAACAGCCCCAGAUUCCAGAAACCAGAAAGGUUGAUGAGCUCAAAGAUGGUAGUCCUGUGAUUGUUGUCAGGUGAACAUGCCUGAGAGAACACUACAAGGCAGCUCCUUUUUUUGUGUUUCUAGCAAAGAGGAAACGAACACAAGAAGGCAAGAACCAUCGAAGCAAGAAGAUGACACAAAAGGCCCUUUUCUUCCUCUUCCUCGCCCCCACCCAAAAUCACAGACAACAACUCACUGCGACUCAAAAGCCCGGCAUUCCAUAGCCAAACACACUGUUUUUCUUUUUAUUUUCCUUCAGCAUUCGCCUCAUGUUCCAAUCCCUCUCCUCGUCACUCACCAAGAGAACCUACAAAAGUUACAGGAGACGGGUUCCGCUGCUCAAGCGGGAGAGAGGGAAAGGAGGAGAGUGUGUCUGUGAGAGUGAGAGAGAGAGAGAGCGCGAUACCUUAUUUUGCGUGCAGCUGGGUUCCGUGUGGCUUUGUGCGUGGUGAUUUCCUCUGCUCCUCGUCGCAGAUUCCUCUUCUGGGAAGGAGAGGAGCAACUCAUCUCAUUUUCUCCCCUGCUAAGAGUUACUGCUGCGAUGCUUCUCCACUUGUUUAGCUUCGUCGCAAAUCGCUCUCGCUGCCACCGCUACAGUAAAAGGAUGGCCAAUUUCCGCUCCGUUUAACUGGAUAAUGUCCUCUGGUUUUAUAAAUAUAUCCAUAUAUUUACUAUUAUAAAGUAAAGUUUAUAUAUGCUUUCAGACAUGAGGAGGACAGACCAUCAUAUGACUUUUGGUCCUAAAUUUAUCUUCAAGUUUAUAUAAAAAAAAACCCUAUUAUUAUUUCAUUCAUUUUUAAGGAUAUGAUUAUAAAAUAUAAAAAAAAAGUGUAAAUCUUUAAUAUUUCCCGCCUGUUUUGCUUUUUUUCUUACACUUCGGAAUUGGGCCGUUUGAUCGAGUGGGCCCCGGUUGAAGCGGUCUGUCGCGGUCACGGGACCCAAAGCGACGCCUCAGCCACGUUAGAAUAAAUAUGUGUUGUGUCAGAUGGAGGUUGUUUUGAGAGUUGUAGCGGAUCCUCCAUCGGAGUCUUUCUAUAACAAAGAUAAAUAUAUGUUGUCUGUGAUCUGUCAUAUAUUUUUAUUUUGUUAUUAAAUUACUUCUUGGAUAUUUUGAUAAUUUUACUUAGAAAAGUCUCUAGUAAUUGGUUUUUAACGGAUGAUAUUCUUUUCUGGAGACAUUAUUAUCCCAUAGUAUUUUUUUUAUAAAUCUUAAUUUUAUCUUCAUAUUUUAAAUAUUUUUUAAUUCUCUGAAACUAAUUUGGAUCAUUGAACCAUCAACCUGUAAGUCACUCAUCCACUUCCUCUCUUCUCUCCUCCUAAUCGAAAAAUAAUAUAUAUAUAUAUAUAUUGGAAAGAAUAUUAAAUUAAAUUGGUUUGAUUUAAUUAGAAACAAAGAGAAUAAAAAUAAGAAUUAAGGUGAUGCAGUGUGUGCAAAUCAAGUGGAGGCUGAUGAUUGUGGGUGGGGUCCAGGCUUAACCUUUCCCAUCCAUCAUUAACGUAGUAUUCAAAAGAGGUGAAAUCUUUUGGUUCCUGUUCGAAACCGGACAAGCAAUCCGAAGCAGGGUUGGCCGAGGGUAAAGAGAAUAACUUUAGUUUGGUUCGCCUAAAUUUCACAUUCCCAAACCAUGUAUGCUUCCCAUCUUUAUGUUUCUUGCUUUGCUUUAAUUCAAUCAAUACUUCUUUAGCGGCCCAAGAAGCUAUUGACGCCGCACGCUUAGCCCCCUUUUGUUUUUUGCGUGAAAAGGCGUGCUUAAAAGCUUGAAUCAAAGGAAGAAAACAUCUCCGAAUUAAAAAGCUACCAUAGUGGAAGGAGGAACUAAUUGACAAUGGUGCUUGAGUGGAUGUGUUUCGAUGAGGUAUCCAUGUGGAGGUAGAAAUAGAUAAGGGUGAAUUUAUUCCAUUCCCCUUCGACUUUCUUUUGAGAAAAAGAAAAUGCACUCAAGUGCAUAUUCUCUCCUCCACCAUGCACAGAAUAACUCCUUUUGAGAGAGAGCCGCACCACGUAGAAAAAGAUGCUGCUGCAACUAAUGUGUGUUCUCGAUAUGAUAUUAUUUAUUUAUUUAGAUUCCACAUAUAUCAUGGAGAAAUAAAUUUAAAUAUUUUAUCAAGUGAAGAAGGAAGAGAAAAAAAAAAUAAAUUAAAAAAAAGAAGAGGAUGAGUCAAUGCCCGAUGGGGAAAGACGAGUGAAGUCGUCUUGCGAUAGAAUAGAGGUGAUGGUGUACCGACGAUUGAAGGCAAGAUGAUGAUGGAAAGAUAUUUUAGUUGAAAUGGUAAAAAAGGAUUGUCUCUAGGUAAAAGCUAAUUAGGGGACGUCAUCCAAUAAAAGUCCAAAAGUAAAAUAAAAAAUUAAAUAAAAUACCUUAGAAAUUUUAUGAAUAUGGAUCGAAAGAUUACAAUAAUCUUCUAUUGUGUAAGUUGAAACAGGUUCUAUAAUCAGAUUUAUGAAGUAGUUGGAUUCAUCCAACCAUUUUGAAUUACAUUUUUAGUACUAAUUCAAUGGGUUUUCAAUUAUUUCAGGGAUAAUGGUUAGUACUUGAGUUAGAUCUAUUCAAGAGUUUGAUUAUAGUAGAGAGAUAAAUAUUUGAUUAUAGUCAAAUAAAUUUUUUUCACUAAAAAUUUAUAAAAUUAUAUGUAAGAAUUAUAAAAUUAUAUCUAUCGAAAGGUUGAAUCAGCAUAUGCUAAUAAUAUUAUGGACUAGAGAGUAAAAUUUUAAAGAUAAUAAUGUAAGAAUUUUUAAUAAUAGGAUGAAAAGAGAGAUAAUUUUAGAUGAAAAUAAUAUUAAAAUUAUUUAAAAUAUAAUGACUAAUAGGUUAGAAACUUAAUAAAAGAGAUCCUUGAUAAAAUAAAAGGUAAGGGUGUAGCUUUUUGAUAGGGUUAGUGGUAGUGUGAGAAAGUUCAAAAAGCAAUUAUCACUAAAAAAAUCAUAGUUUAAAGAUUGAUAAAAUUAUAAAAAUAAGAAAAAUUUAAUAGAUAUAAAAAAUCUAAAAAAAGUGGCUAAAAGGACUAUUAAUAUGGCAAGAUCGAGAAAAAUUAAGGAUCUAAAUUUAAUAGUAUAUGAUAAUUUUUAUAAUAAAUUAAGUAUUAAGAUGGACAAAAAUAUUAGAUUCAUCAAGUUAGAGAAAGAAAGUACUAAAGAUCCAGUUGCUAAAGCUAGAGAAAGAAAGUGAAAGAAUUUAGGUAAUAUUAGAUGCAUUAGGAUGAAGGUCAAAGAAUACUUAUUGAUGAUCAUGACAUUAAGAAAAUAUUGAAAUAUUAUUUUUAUAAAUUAUUUAAUGAGCAUUCCACACAUUCUUAGCUCUAAUGAUAGAUAAUAAUAAUAGAUUUAAUAAUUAUAAAUUUAUUCAUAAACUUAAAACUAGUAAAGUAAAAGAAAUCUUAAAAAAGACGAUAAUAGCUAAAGUGUGUGAUUUGAUUGUAUCCCUAUUUAGGUUUAAAAAAGUUUAAGAGAUAUAAGGGCAACUUGGUUAACUAGCAUAUUUGACAAAAUCAUAAGAUAUCUAAUGUAUGGUAAUUAAGUUUUUUAGUAUCAAUUUAGAAGAAUAAGGGUGACAUAUAAAAUUAGUUUAAUUAUAGAGAAAUUAAAAUCACGAGUCAAAACUUUAGAAAAGAGUUAUUGAAAGUAUGAUAAGGCUUGAAACAAAUAUAUUUGAAAACUAAUUUAGUUUUAUGCCUACAAGUUCAAUAAUAAAAUUUAUUGAUUUAUUAAGAUAAUUAAUAAAAAUAUAGAGAGAAAAAAAUUUACAUAUAAUUUUUAUUGAUUAGAGAAAACCUAUGAUAAAGUGUUUAGAGGUUUAUUAUGGUGGAUUUUAGAAAAAAAAUAUAUUAAUUAUAUUAAUAUUACUAAGGAUAUGGACGAUAAUAUAAUAACUAAUAUUAGAACUAUAUAGAGUGCAUUCAGUAAAUUUCCUAUUAGUAUAAGAUUUCAUCAUUUCCUAUUAAUAUAAGAUUACAUCAUGGUUCCACAUUAAGUCUCUAUAUUUCUACAUAGAUAAUAUAUAAGUUUAUUAGUCAUUUAAUGUCUUUGGUAUAUGUUAUUUAAUUAUAAAAUCAUUUUAGUUGAUAAGAGUCUAAAUAUAAUUAAAUCUAAUUAUGGAGGUAAUCCUUAAAAUAUAAAGGUUUUCAAUUAAGUAGGACUAAAACUAAAUAUAUAAGAUGUAAUUUUACUAAUACUAAGAAUAGAUAGGAGAAUAUAGUUCAAUUGGAUGAGCAAGAAAUUCUUUAAAUAAAAGUUUUAUAUAUGUUAGAUCAAUUAUUUAAUAACAUAGAGAGAUUAAUAAAGAUAUUACUUUAUAAAGUAAAAAUAGGAUAGUGAAAAUAGUGAAGGAAUUAGGAGUGUUAUGUGAUCAUCAAGUACCUUUAUUAUUAAAAAAAAUUAUAAUACAAUUGUUUGACUAAUAAUGUUUUAUGAAUCUAAGUGUUGGACAAUCAAUAAGCACCAUAUGAGAAUAUUGGAAUUGAUAUAUGAAGUUACUACCAAAGAUAUAAAAAAAAAAUUAUUUGUUAAUAAUCAGGUGUCACUUUGACGAAGGAUAAAAUGAAAAAAAUUAUUUAAGAUGGUAUGAGCAUGUUUUAGGAGACCUACGAAUAUGAUACUUAGAAGUAGUGAAAUAACUAUCGUUAGUGGUUAGUGGUAUAGGUAAAAGAAACCUAAAUAAAUCUUAAUAGGAACUAUAAAAAUGAUUUGAAUACUCUUAACUCAACUAAAUAUAUGACUUUUUAUAUAUCUCAAUGGUAAUAAAAAAUUUAUAUAAUAAAUCCCAAAUAGUUGAGAUUUAUAAUUUUAUUAUUGUUAUAAUAAAAAAUUUAUUUGUCACCCUAAGUAAUGGUACUGCUAGAGGUAUAGGAUAUGGUGAUGUGUUGGAGGUACAUCAUAUUUGUACGAUGAAAAAUGAAUACUCUUUGCGUAUACUUAUCAUCUUCCUAUGUGGUACCAUCGUCAAAAACUUUGACAAAAUAUAGAAUAUGCUUGUGACUUAGGUGGUACUAUUGCUUGAGUAUGGUGGUACCACUGCUCUAAACAACUUUAGGCCAUUUGUUUAGCCUUAUAACAAGCCUAAUUCGACUCAUCUUCAAGCCAAAUGACUUUCAUGAUAAGUAGAUUUUGUUUUAACUCAAUACCGACUUAAAUUGGCCCAAAAUAACUUUAAUCAGGACUUUUAUAAAUCAACUACUUAUAUGAUAUAUCUUUGAAGGUUUUUGUGCAUUAUCCACUCUUUCUACAUAUCAUCCGAUCUUUUGACAUUUUGUUCGAAUCUCUAGCACAUCAUUCUGUCCUCUAGUAUAUCGGUUUCACUACAAUAUCUAAUAUUCUAUAUUGAUAUAUGUUCUUAUUGGUAUAACAUCUGAAGUUAAUUUUUAGACAUUUCAAUUAAUCCGUCGGCUUGAUGUCUAAUUUUUAAUAUAAUAUUCAAAUAUUCAACUCCAUAUUUGGCUCUUCAAUGGUUCAAGUCUAUGAUCGAAGUAUUUUCUACUUUACUUAUCUCAAAAAUAUAUUAGUUUAUAAAAUUCAUAAAUUAAUUACAUUAUCAAAAUCUAAAAUGCAACAUUGGAAACUUUGAAAAAAUAUUUGAUGAGUAGUUAAUGAUUCAAGAUCAUUUUAGGUCAAUGUGAGCUAAUAUUUUUACAAUAAUCAUUGGGUUUGAAGUUGGGAUAGAAUUGAGCUUGUUAAAAUCCUAAAUAGAUGACCUAAGUAAAUAACGAUACCACUAGACCGAGUAGUAUUACUUUUUCGUGACAUUAAGUGAAUAAUGAAGUGAUCAAGAUAGAGUAUUAUAUAAUUAGAGAUACCUUUGCAAGAUCUCUAAAGACUGAAGCACUUACUCACAACUAAUCCAAGUAUAAAAAAAAUAUAAAUUAAGAGAGAAAAUUAGAUUGUAUAAUUUAAAUUGAAAGAGUUUAUUUGAUCAAAGACUUUAUCAUUAGCUAAGAUUAGGAUUAAAUUAAAUUGUAUUCUUUGAGAUUCGUUGUCGUGAACGCCAUUUAGGUUGAAAGCCAUACAAGAAAGCUUAUACUUGUGCUGUUAAAACAAGAGAGGAGCAUCAACAAAUUGUAGAAAGAGAUAAGAAAGGGUGAAAGACAUGUUGGAGGUGUUGCCAAAUGGCAAUUUAUGGAAUUUGCAAAAACCCUGCAAACUUAUAAAUAAUUUAUUUACAUAAGAAUUAAAUAUAAUGGACUUUAUUUAGCUUAUUUUCAAAAUUAGAAUAUAUGCGUUUGCAAUUUGGUAGAGUAUGUGAUUUGCACAGUUAUCUAUUGAUUUACAAAACAUCUUGUUAUUCAAAAAUAUUAAAAAUAAUAUAUAUGUUUGGUUCUAGUAAAAAGAUAUCAUUUGUACUUAUUAAAUAAAUAUUUAUUGGUUAAAAAAUAAUUGUUUUAUCAUUAUAGUUGUCCAAAAAGAUUGAAAUAUAUUUGAUUAAUAUUAGUUUUAAAUGUUAUAUGAUUUCAUCAGAUUUGAAAUAAUAAAUAAAAAAAUGUACAAAACUAUAGUUUUAGAAGAUUACUGUUUGUAACCCUUUUUUUUAUUAUUUACAACCCCAUGUUUUUAAUAUUUCUAAAUUAUCCCUAUGUAAAUAGAUAUAUAUGCUCUCAAUAUAUAACUUAACUUUAAUAAAUCUUUUUAUUUCUUACCUAUAACUUUGUUUUUUCUUUUAUCUUCUUCUUCUCCUUUUCCUUCUUUUUAACAAACAGAUAGUGAUAAGCUAAAGAUUGAAGAGGAGGUGAGAAAUAGUUUUUAAUGUUUGUUAUAAUGAUUUAAUUUUUAAGAAUAUGUUUCUCUAAUAAUCCAAAAGACAUCAUCUUUUAGGUCAAUUACAUUAAUAUAGAAUCUAUCAUAUUUCGGGGAGAACUAGUGGCACUAGUAUGUGUAAGCGAGAGCUAUGAGAAAGAAAAAAAAAAGAAAAAAUUAUAAAUAAAAUUAAAGGGAUUAUAAAUAGUAAAAUAUUAUUUUAUUAAUUUUUAAGAAAAUAUAAAUAGUAAAAGAGUUGUGAAUAGCAAGAAAGGAACUUAAAAAAAAUAAGCUUCUAGUUUUAUAGAUGAAUUCCUAAAAAUACACUUUUAGUUUUGAGAAAUUUUACCUAAACUUUGAAAAUUCUCACGAGUCUCAACUUUUUAAAAUGACAAAAGUAACCCUCCAACAACUUUUAGCUUUUCCUCUUAAAAGAUACAUCUUCUCUUUUCACCUAUUUUUAUAAACUAACCCAUAUAAUUGAAUCGAUUAAUAAUAUUAAAUGAUAAUAAACUAGCCAAUCUACAACUUAUACUAGUUCAAAAUAAAUUAUAUUAAAUAAUUUACUAAUAUAUAAUGAUUUAUAUUAUUAAAAUAAUAUAUAUAUAUAUAUAUAUAUUAAAUUAUUAAAAAUAAUAAAGUAUAAAUGAUAAUUUUAAAACUAAAUUUUCUAACUAUAAAGUAAAGAGUAAUAUAAUAAUAAUAUUUAUAUAUUUUAAAAAUAAAAAAUCAUUUCAAAUAUAUUUAAAAAGUACAAAUAAAUUUAAAAAGGUCUAUAUGACCAUUAUUUUAUAAUUUUAACUUUUUAAAAUAGUUUAUUUACUAAUUUUGACCAUUAAAAAUUAAAUAUAACCCAAAAAUAUCAAAAUAAUAUAAUCUUAAAAUCAUAAAUAAAUUAUAUAAAAUAAUUUACUAAUAUUUAUCGAGUUUAUAUUAUUAAAAAUAAUAAAUAAACUUAAUAUAAUAAACUAUAAAAAAUAAAAAUAUAAUAAGCUAAUUUUAAUAAAUUUAAUUAUAAAGUAAAGAAUAAUAUAAUAAUAACAUUUACAUAUUUUAAAAUAAAAUAUACAAUAUAAAGGGGGUGGAUUUUAUUAACCAUAAUUUUUUUACUUAUUUAGAAGAUCAAAUACUAAAAAAAAUAUUCCAUGAAGGUUUUGUGAAAAAAUUAUAGCAUUUUGAAUUGUUAGUGUAUCAGAUAUAUUAUUUUUCUAUUUAUCCCAAAAACAGUGUAUCUGAUACCAAGGUUUAUUUUAUCAUAGGUUUCUUACCUAUUUGGAAGCUCAAAUGUCAAAAAAUAUUGUAAGGUUCCAUCAUAUUUUGGUAGAAAUAAAAAUAGAAAAAAAUAGAUAGUUCAUGUGGUGAAUAACUUAUAUAAAUAUCAAAAAUAUCCAUUUAGAUAUGAUUCAAAUAUUUCACACAAAAAUUUACAGCAAUUUCACUAGUCCUUGUAUCAUAUACAUUAUUUUUUAUUUCAUCCCAAAAAUUAUACAUCUAAUAUCAGGUCUUAGGUUUUGUGGACCAAAUUUUUACAAUAGAUUUUUCACCUAUUUAGAAGUUCAAAUGUCAACAAAAAUCAUAAUGAUGUAUCCUGUUUUGAUGGAAAUAAAAAAAUAGAGAAAUUUAAAAAAGAUAAACUAUUCAAAGGGUGAAUAACCCCAAAAAAUAAAAAAAAUAAAAUAGAAAGUAUCAUAAAUGUCCAUUAGGGUGCUAGGUAAAGGUUUCAUAAAAAAAUCACUGUAUUUUGACCAAUCCUAGUCUUAGAUACUCUAAUUUUUAUUUCACCCCAAAUAUAAUGUAUCUAAUACCAAUGCUUAGGUUUUGUUGACCAGAUUUUUAUCAUACGAUUUUUACCUAUUUAUAAAUUAAAAUAUUAAAAAAUUACAAGGAUCCAUCAUAUUUUGAUGAAAAUAAAUAAAAAACUUAGAUAAAUUAAAAAAAUGUAGAUUAUUCAAAUGAUGAAUAACACAGAAAAAAUCAAAAAAGAUAUAAAAAAACAUCAUAAAUGUCCAUCAAGGUGCUAGUUAAAGUUUCCAUGAAAAUUUUACUAUAUUUUGACUAGUCUAUGUAUCAUAUACACUAUUUUUUAUUUCACAUAAAAAUUGUAUCUAAUAUGAAGGCUUAGGUUUUGUGAACCAUAGGUUUUCCAUCUAUUUAGAAGCACAAAUGCCAAAUCUAUCAUAUUUUGGUGAAAAUAAAAAAAUAGAGAAAUCAGAAAAAGAGCAUACUAUUCAAAUGGUGAACAACUCAUAAAAAUAUCAAAAAAUACUCUAAAUUAGAAAAUGUAUCACAAAUAUCCAUUUGGGUGUCGUUCAAAGGAUUCACAAAAAUUUCAUAGCAUUUUGAUUGAUCCUUAUAUUAGAUACACUAUUUUCAAUUUCACCCUAAAAAUAGUGUAUCAUAAGUUUCUCACAUAUUUAGAUCAGUCCUUAUAUUAGAUAUUAGGACUUGGGUUUGAUGGAUCAAAUUUUACCAUAAGUUUCUCACAUAUUUAGAAGCUCAAAUGUUAAAAAAUAUUAUAUAAAUCCUUCAUAUUUUGGUGAAACUAAAUAAAAAAAAGAAUAAAGGCACACUGUUCAAAUGGUGAAUAACCCCCCAAAAAAUAAAUAAAAUAAAAUAAAAAAUAUCAUAAAUAUCCAUUUGGGUGUCAUUAAAAAUUUUUUAUAAUAUUUUGAGUAGUCUUUAUAUCUGAUACACUAUUUUUUAUUUCACCACAAAAAUAUUGUAUCUAAUACCACAGCAUAGGUUUUGUGAACAGAAUUUUUAUUAUAAGGCUUUCAACUAUUUAAAAACUCAAAUGUUAAAAAACAUCACAUGGAUGCAUCUGAUCUUGAUGAAAAUAAAAAAAACAUAGAGAAAUUAGAAAAAGAUAAACUGUUCAGAUGGUUAAUAAUCCAUAAAAAUAUCAAAAACAUUAAAGUAGAAAAAUCAUCAUUUGAAUAUUUUUUAUUUUGCAAAAUUUUACAGCACUCAAAGGUUUCAUGACAAUUUUACAGCACUUUGACUAGUCCUUGUAUUAAAUACACUAUUUUUUAUUUUACCCAAAAAUAGUAUAUCUGAUACUAAGGCUUGGAUUUUGUGGACUAAAUUUUACCAUAAGUUUCUCACAUAUUUAGAAGCUUGAAGGUGAAUUUUCAUCACAAGGAUCCAUCAUAUUUUGAUGAAAUAAAAAAAUAAAAAUUAGAAAAAAAGGCAAACUAUUCAAAUGAUGAAUAACUUGAAAAAUUAUUUAAAAUUUUUGCAAAAUAAAGAAUAUUAUAAAUGUCCAUUAGGGUGCCAGUAAAUAGGUUUAUAAAAUUUUUACAGUAUUUUGACUAAUUAUUGUAUCAAAAUACAUUAUUUUUUAUUUCAAGACUAAAAUAAUAUAUCUAAUACUAAGGCUUGAAUUUUGUGGACCAAAUUUUUAUCAUAGAUUUUUCACCUAUUUAGAAGCUCAAAUGUCAAAGAACAUUGCAAAGAUCUAUAAUAUUUUGGUGGAAAUAAAAAAUAAAUAAAAAAGGCAGACUAUUUAGAUGGUGAAUGACCCAAAAAAUAUUUUUAAAAAUUUUUAAAAUAGAAAAUUGUAUCAUAAAUGUCUAUCAGGAUGCUAGUCAAAGGUUUCAUGAAAAAUUUAUAUUAUUUUUACUAAUCCUUGUGUCAGAUAUACAAUUUUUUAUUUCACCUAAACAAUAGUGUAUUUAAUGCUUGGGUUUUAUAGAUUAAUUUUUUAUCAUAAGUUUUUCACUUAUUUAAAAGCUUAAAUAUCAAAAAAUAUUACAUGGAUCCUUUGUAUUUUGGUGAAAAUAAAAAAAGAGAAAAUAGAAUAAAGAUAAAACUAUUCAAUGGUGAAUAACCCAUAAAAAUAUUAAAAGAAUUUCUAAAAUAAAAAAUUAUCAUAAAUAUCUAUUUGGGUGUUAUUCUAAGGUUUUAUAAAAAUUUCAUAAUAUUUUGACUAGUCCUUGUAUCAGAUAUAGUAUUUUUUUAUUUCACCCGAAAAUAGUGUAUCUAAAACUUGGGCUUGGGUUUUGUGGAUGAAAUUUUUAUCAUAGGUUUAUUAUAUAUGGAAGUGUUUAAAAAAUUAAUUUAAAAGGUUUUUAAAUUAAAUAAUUUAUUAUGUAUAUAUAAUAUAUUCGAUUAGAAUGUUAUGAGCUUCAAUGAGGUUAUUGAAUUUAUUGAAUAGUUUAUAAAUUAUGAUUGAUUAUAAGUCUAAAUAUGUAAUACAUAUAUUAUGAUUAAAAACAAGAAAUAACCAAUAGCUAACGAAAGUAUCUUUGACUAGUCUUAGUAAUGUUUAUCCCUCUUUAUAGAUGGGGAUAACAUCCAUAAUUAUUAUGAUACCAUUUAAGAUAUCAUACAACAUGCAUAAUAUAAAUAAACUCUCACAAUUUAAGUCAUUGAAUAUAUAUAUAUAUAUAUAUAUAUAUAUAUAUAUAUAUAUAUAUAUAUAUAUAUAUAUAUAUAUAUAUAUAUAUAUAUAUAUAUAUNNNNNNNNNNNNNNNNNNNNNNNNNNNNNNNNNNNNNNNNNNNNNNNNNNNNNNNNNNNNNNNNNNNNNNNNNNNNNNNNNNNNNNNNNNNNNNNNNNNNNNNNNNNNNNNNNNNNNNNNNNNNNNNNNNNNNNNNNNNNNNNNNNNNNNNNNNNNNNNNNNNNNNNNNNNNNNNNNNNNNNNNNNNNNNNNNNNNNNNNNNNNNNNNNNNNNNNNNNNNNNNNNNNNNNNNNNNNNNNNNNNNNNNNNNNNNNNNNNNNNNNNNNNNNNNNNNNNNNNNNNNNNNNNNNNNNNNNNNNNNNNNNNNNNNNNNNNNNNNNNNNNNNNNNNNNNNNNNNNNNNNNNNNNNNNNNNNNNNNNNNNNNNNNNNNNNNNNNNNNNNNNNNNNNNNNNNNNNNNNNNNNNNNNNNNNNNNNNNNNNNNNNNNNNNNNNNNNNNNNNNNNNNNNNNNNNNNNNNNNNNNNNNNNNNNNNNNNNNNNNNNNNNNNNNNNNNNNNNNNNNNNNNNNNNNNNNNNNNNNNNNNNNNNNNNNNNNNNNNNNNNNNNNNNNNNNNNNNNNNNNNNNNNNNNNNNNNNNNNNNNNNNNNNNNNNNNNNNNNNNNNNNNNNNNNNNNNNNNNNNNNNNNNNNNNNNNNNNNNNNNNNNNNNNNNNNNNNNNNNNNNNNNNNNNNNNNNNNNNNNNNNNNNNNNNNNNNNNNNNNNNNNNNNNNNNNNNNNNNNNNNNNNNNNNNNNNNUUUCUUUUAUUUUUAUUUAUCUUCUUUUAUUUUCCUCUUAAUAGUUUUAAAAUUUAGUCCAUUAAAUAUAAACUAAGGGAUGAUAACGUGUUCACACUAUAAUCUUAUUCAAGUAUUUAUAAUUACAUUUAAGUUUCUAGAAUGGCAAAAUAAAUUUCCUCAUUUGAUCUAGAUAUAACAACUCCUUCAUCCUUUAAGAAAUUUAAUCUUUCAAAUUUGAAGAUUAAGCUUCUGUGAUACUGCCAAGUUUCCAUCUUAAAAUAAUAAUUAGAUUUGUAACCAAGUUAAUCCCAAUAUAUUUAUAUUGUUAUAUUUCCUUAAAAUCAUAAUAGUAUUUAGUCAUGUCUUGGUAUGAAUUGAUUUGCAUAUGGAGUAAUUUAUAUUAUGCAUGAACCUUCUCAUGAAAUCAAACAUACAUAAACAACAAUAACUUAAUGCUCCUUCGAACAUUAUUUAAACUCAUUUUUAAAGAAUCCUCCAACCCACUUCAAUUGUGGUUUGAAAAAUAAUAAAAUGAGCACAAAUGACCAACAAGGAUAAAGAACUAAUUCGAAUGAUAACAACAAUAAUAUGCUAAGUAAAUAUACAUAAUUUAUUAAAUAUAUUCACAUGAAUAAUCAUAUAUAUAGUACAUAUGAUCACGAGUAGAAAACAAAUUUAAGAGUAUCAAUUUUUUUAAAUAUAUAUAUUAAAAUAAUAUAAUAAUAAUGUAAUCAUACAUCAUCAUCAUAGUGGCUAAUAAAUAGACUUGGAUUCUUAGGAUAAAUCAACUAGCUCAAAAGCUGAUAGAGAAAAAUCAUUUCAUACAUCAAAUAGUUGAAGGAGCAAUUUUUGUAAGUAACCUUGUGCCUUAAAAGUAGGAUUUCUUCUAGCUAUUACGUCUUAUGAUCUAUCAAUUACUUAACGAGAAUCACUCUACCAAUGUCAGGUUGCAUAUCUAUCAAUAGGAAUUAUGUCUAUAAUCAAUAUGAUACCAUUCAUUAUAUCAUAUUAUAUGUAUAUGAUAAUAUAAUUGUAAACUCAUUAUUCAAUAUAACUUAUCGAUAAUAGUGUGUUAAAAAUAAUAUACAUAUUAUGGAAAAUGAUAACUUAUGCAUCCACAACCUUAAUGUGAUUUAGUAAAUGAAAACAAGAAUAAGAAAUGAAAUUUUAAGGAAGGACACGAAUCACUAACUCUUUCAUUUUCCAUAUCCUUUUCUUCCAUUCUUUUCCUUAAUGAUAAUUAUUUCCAACUUCAAUGAAUUAUUUAUAAGGUUAGGGUGUUUUUAUGAAUUCCAUAAAUUGUCAUAUAAUAAAAUCUCCACUAUUUUUAGCUUCGUCUCAAUGGUACCCAAGAUGAAAAAAAGGAAAAAAAAUGACAAAAAAAAAUGAAAGAAAUAAAAUGAUGUUUAUGGUUAAAAAUAACAAGUAUUUACAUGGAAGUUUCUUCAUUUUUCAAAAAUGAAAACCUAUCAAUCAAACAUUUCAUCAAAAGGAAUAUCAUUCUCCAAAUUAAAUAUGAAAAUAUUUUUUCAGAAUCAAGUGAAAGUUUUAAAGAGUGAUAUGCUUUGAUUUAUGUGAUAUUAUUGUAUUCUUACUUAUUUUCUAAGGUUUCCGUUUUUAGUUUUGUACAUUGGGGCUUAUAAAAAUACCAUAAUAGGUCAAAAAAUUAAAGUUUAUUUCUCAUAUUAUGUGUACGGGACUAUAUUUAUUUUUUUUGAUAAUAUGAGGCUAUAAUCCACAUGCUAGACAUGUGGAGGUAUGAGGUCUUCAACAUGGGAGUUAUAGGUAUUUUUUUAAUAUAAUUUUUAUAUUUAUAUUUUCCUCUCUUUUUUUUCCUUUAUACAAAAAAAAAUUCCUCCACUUUUGGAGCUCUCAUUAGGCUGCACAUCAUUUACAAAAGAAAAUCUAAUAGCUCAAUCGGAAACUCUAUAAUUGAGAUUGAAUUGUCAAUACUUCAUCAACAAUUCAUCAAGAGUUAGUGCUUUGAAGCCAUGGAGGGUUGAUGGAAAUUAAGAUAAUUUUCAUAUUUAUAUUGAGUAUGAAAAGAAGAAAGUUGGAUCUAAAACACUUGAAUUGGUAACAAACUCAAGUUCAGGAUCCCUAUGUUUAGUUCCUGUAUUAAUUAUGCUAAGGAAAAGAAAAUAGAGCAAAUAAAAAAAGAGUAGAAAAAUCACCUAUAGUUAUAGAAAUAGAAAACCUAUAUAUUUUCAUGUUUGAUUUGGAGAAUGAUUUUUCUUUGUUGAUAAAAUGUUUAAUUGAUAGAUUUUCAUCUUUGUAUAAUGUGAAACUUUCUUAUGGAGGGACUUAUGAUCUUCAACCAUAAUCAAUAUGUGGUUUUUUUCUUUGUUUUUGGUUAUUUUCAUCUUGACUAAUCAGGCAUUUCAUGUGUUAACAUAUACUCUUUAUGAAUGUUUCUUGAGUAGCUGAAACCUUCUUAUUUUCUCUAAAAAAAAAAAAAAGUAUGUUGAUGAUUCCUUCAUUUAAGAGCAUCAUUACACAAAAAAAAUAUUACUAGCAUCCCUAGCAAAUAUAUUUUCUUUAAACUCAUCAAAGCUAUCAAGUUGAACCUCCAGCAUUCUGGCUUUUUCUCAAAUAUAAGUGAUUAUAUUGUUGUUUGUAUAGAUAGUAAUUGAUUCAAUCAGGUGAGGAGAACUAAUAUAUGUGAUUAUAUUGUUGUUUGUAUUCAGAUGGAAUAGUCACAUUUUAGGACAUCUGAGAUGCUCCUUUGAGUUUGGUUUUAUAUUAUAAACCAUCCUUUCUAUUUAGCAUAUGUUCAUAUAAUAGGUAAAUAUUUUAACAAUUUUGAAAUCAAAAUUUUAUAAAGGAAAAAAAUUCUAAAAUUUAAGCUUUAAGUUUUAUAAAUAUUUCAUGUAUUUUAAAAUCUUGGUCAGAGGAGAGUUAGAUGUGGUAUAUUUAAUUUUCCCAUAGAGUGUUUGGAUAUGAUGACAGAUAAAGAUAUAAAAUUUUCAAGAUUUAUAUAAAAAGGUCUAUAAGAACAGUUGUUCUUAAAUAAGACUAACUCAGGAAUUUUAUAAUUGAUCAAUUUAUUUUUUAUUAUAAAUAUAAAUAAAAAAUAUCGUUUUACAUAAAUCCUAUGUCAACUCUUAUCUUUCUUUAUGGAGAGAGGGAGAGAGAGAGAGAGAGAGAGAAAAGGGAUGUAUCCCCCAUUUGAAGUUGAAUUGCAUGCAAACCCAAACAAAUCGCUGCCGUCCAAUUUGGUCUGGUCACGAAAUGGUACGCGUUCGACGAAUGCGUGCGUGCGUGCGCUACGACAAUUUUGGUUCGGUUUGACAGGUCGAGACUUCCGAUUUAGGUCCGGUUCAAUUAAGAAACCUAGAAAGAAGCUUGCGGUCCGACCCGCCACCACGUGAAGACGCCAAGCGAUGUCCGAAAAGCGAACUCCCGCAGAAGAAGCGCCAUCCCAAUCAUGGCGUGGCGCGGCGCGCGCGGUUUCGAAAUCAUCCGAAAAAUUUCGAAUCCCUCGACAGCCACGAGAAGGAAAGAAGGAUGGUUCUAAUCCUCUUCUUCGCCUACCCACACUCACGCACUCUCUCCUUCGAUGGAUUCAAAGAAACUCUCCCUCGCUCCCUCUCCAAAUCUCCUCUCUCCUUGACCUCUUCACCGGGUCUCCUUUGAUGCCCACCGGCAAGUCUUGGUACUCCCGCUGGCCUUCUGAAAGAUCUAAGAUUGAGGUAUGUGUGACGAAACCAAAAAAUUGGAGUUUUAUCUGUCGACUUGGGGAUAAUUGGGGUAUGGAAUUGGGGGGGAAACCGCUGAUCUGAUGAUUAAUCGUGCCUUCAUGUCGAUUUCUUUGUGAUUAUCUCGAAUCUUAGCCUAAAUUCCGCGUCGUGUCAGCCAAUUUUGGGCUGCUUUCAUUAUUUUUACUUGCUGAGUCCGAAAUUGCUGUGUUUUUUUUGCUUGAUAGGUCAGAUAUCGGGAGUGAUUUGCUAGGAUCAGGUGAUUAUAUUCCAAAUUUCCCAGCAAAAUCAGUUAUUCCCGGUCUCCAGAAUCCAUAUUAAGAGCCAUGGUGAGGGAGCUCCGAGUCGAAUCCUUCUACGCUCGCCUUCGUGAUGCUGCCUUGGCCUCCUCCACUUCCCCGCUUCUGGUAUUCCCUUCCGCGUCCGACGCCGACUCCCUCUGUGCCCUCAAGAUCGUAACCCAUGUCCUCUCGUCCGAUUCAAUUCGCUACUCGGUGUACCCUGUCUCCUCAUUCAGUGACGUCGACAAAUUUGUCGGCCUCAAUCUCCGGUCGUCGAAUCAGCCGCUUUCUUUGCUCUUCAUAAACUGGGGCUGCCACCGCGACCUGCGCCGGUUCUUGAGCCUUGGGCCUGAGGUUCAUGUCUUCAUCAUCGAUAGCCACCGCCCGGUCCACCUCCACAACCUCAGCGAGCAAAAUGAACAGGUUGUCGUUCUUUACACUCAGGAGGAUGAGCACCAGGCCGAUCUGGCUUAUGAUUUCGAUGUCUCCGCAUUGGCCAAUGCGUCUGAUCUGAACAGUGAUGACGAGAUUGAUGCGAACUCUGACGAUGAGGACAGCGAUGACCACAACGACCAAGAGGUCGAGGGAGGAAACAGAAAGCGUCGAAGGGUCUCUAAGGAUUCAGAACCUGACCCGAUUAAGCUCUUUGGGAAACUCAAGUCGGAGUACUAUAAGUUGGGUACUUUCCAUGGAAAGCCAUCUGGUUGCUUGUUGUUCGAGUUAGCACAUUCCCUGAGAAAGAACACAAAUGAACUGCUAUGGUUGGCCUGUGUCUCGCUUACCGAUCAAUUUGUGCAUGAAAGGCUAACCAAUGAGAGGUAUCAAGCUGGGGUCAUGGAACUUGAACAGCAUAUAAACAGCUCAGGAAAUCUGGAUGCUGUCACUUCGGUUACACUCAAGGAUGGUACAAAGAUCCAGGCACCAGAGAAUUCUCGAAUUGCAUAUGAAGAUGAGCCCAGGCUGAUGCUAUUGAGGGAGUGGAAUCUGUUCGAUUCAAUGCUGUGCUCUUCCUACAUAGCAACCAAGCUGAAAACUUGGAGCGACAAUGGCCUGAAAAAGCUCAAGCUUUUGCUAGCCAGAAUGGGGUUCCCUCUUGUUGAUUGCCAGAAGAAAUUUCAGUACAUGAGCAUGGAAGUGAAGCAAAAGAUGAAGGAUGAGUUCGAGAGAUUCUUGCCAGAGUUUGGCUUAACUGAGUUCUAUUAUCGUAGCUUCUUGAGAAUACAUGGGUAUUGCACGAAAGUUUCAGCUGCCGAUGUAGUGUAUGGUGUCACAGCAUUGCUCGAGUCAUUUGCAGCAGAAAAAGAUUCAUCGGCUGCUGAGCAAUUUUGGGUUGCUUACUCUGCCUUGUCCUUGAACAAUAUUGAUCAACUCAGAAAGGGCAUGCAAAGUGCAAUCGAGAUUCAGAGAGCUAUUCUCAGGCAAGGAAGUUCUGCAAUUACUAAAACUGGUUUCAUCAGAAGUUACAGGAAGUUUCGCUGGGUGAGGCUUGAAGAUCCUGUUGACACCCUGCGGUUGGGUCAUCCCCAGGCACUUACCAAGUUCUGCUAUUUCUUGAUGGAUGCACUAAAGGAAAGAGGGGCGAAAAUGAAGCCACUAGUCUGUGCUUGCUUGGGUAAACAACCUGACAAAGUUCUCAUUGUUGGUGUGUGUGUGAAACCCCGUCUUGGGGCCAUCCAGGGUAACUCAUUCGGAAUUGCUUUUGGAACAGCAGCUGAAGAAAUUGGAGCUGAAUUUUCUCAUGAGCUGUUUGAAUCUUCUUGGAUAAUUUUGGAUACAGUAGUUUUAAGUUCUUUCAUGGUCAGAUUAACUGAAAAAAUCUGAUGUCUUCUUAGUGCAAUCUGUAACAAUUCACUGAUAUUAAAUGCCAAAUUGGACAUCCACUUUUUCUUUGUGAUGCUGGACCUGAACUAUUCAUUUUCUUUGGAUCAAGUACAUAACAUCUUUUGCGAAUUCUAGCUCUUGGACUUUGUCCAUGUCAAUAGUGACUAGAGAAUAAAAAACAGAGUUGUAAUAAGACAUUCUACAUCAGUAUGUGUAUUAUCAUUUGAUUGUUGUUAAAACUUAGAAGUGCUCCUUCUCCCACAAUGAUAUAUCCUUUCUUUAUGACUGAAAUUUAUUAACGAAAAUGGUGUUUCACAUUUGAUUAGUUGUCUGUUUUCUAAAAUAAGAGGGAACUCCUACCUUUGUUAAACCUCUUUGUCGUCAUUUGGUCAGGAUGGAAUUCAAUUUAACAAUGGCAUUUUUCUUAUGGGUAGGCUACUGAAAGACCUGCUGGAUAGUUCAUUCAUGUACUUUAGUUUCACCAUGAACAUUUUUGAUUGAAACAGUUCACUCCUUUGUUCACGUUUCAGGAAUCUAUAGAGGACUUUUUGCAUAAAGUUAUGAGAUAAUGGUAAACUACAUAUAGAUACCAUUAUUUACCUUCAGUCAAUCUUUACCUUUUUGCAAAAUCAAUUUAAUUACGAAUGCAAGUUUUUUUUGCUGAUUAAAUUCUUGUGAAGUAAUUUGGAAAAUAGAAGUUUUUUAGUUGGACUGUAUUUGCCUAUUCAACUUGGUUUGUGAUUUUUGUUGUUUUCCAAGAUAUCUGGCAGCAUGGAGUUUUAAAAAAGACUCAAAUGAUUUAUAUACAGGAAACCACAUCAAAAUUGAUGUGUCAAUUACUUAGCAAUAUUGGCAUCAUUUCGAAAGAUCCGUGAUACUGUCAAUUGUAACCAUAGUAUUACUGAACUUUGGCCACUCUAUUAGUCAAAAUGGAAAGUGAAGGUAUGAUUUUUUUUUUUCUGUGACUCCUGUUGGUUGUUUGUACCAUUAACAUAUUUUAUGUGUAAUGCCAUCAAGGUGAGGAUGAUAUUUGUUCAAUCUUGAGUUUAGCUUAUUUAUGGAACUCUUCAUACUGUAGUGAAAAUGUUCAACAACCACUCUUAUGUUCUCUUUAACCAUUUUUGCAGGAAUUCCAUCUCAGAAAAACUCCACAUUUGUAAGAUCCAGCCACAUGUUUAACGUUCUAUAAUGCCAGUCAUCUGUAGAAGUUAUUUUAUUUUGAAGCCCAUGAACCGGCCAAUCAUCUUAUAUCGGUGAGGAAGUCAGGCAAAUAUGUUUCUUUCAGUUUGUUGUUCUUUUCUGUAUACUAUCUCAUGAACUUUCUGAGUGACAAGGGAUAUCAAUGGAAGUGAUGAACCUGAAGAUUUAACAAACUUCAGUUUAUAUUCCACAAAGCUUUCAUGUUUGAGCAUAGAAAACUGUCAUAUGUCCUACUAGAUCUCAUACUGAUGCUUGCCACAAACCUUCAACAUUCACUGAAUAUGAUUCAUUCUUUUAAUAGUUUCUUGGACACAUCUAUGCUUUCUUCAUUAAAAUCCCUUCUACAGUGCUUAAAUGCUAUCUUGCAAGCUACAAACAUUUGCAAGCUUCUCAAAAUCAUUCCUCAGGUUGGACAUCAAUUUGCUCAUUCUCUUUUGUGCUACAGAUUUCUUGGAACUUUCAGGUCUCAGCUAUGUUACAAUUGUCUUCCACUGGGAUACAAAUUAGGGACAUCAUGUACAUGUUGCAUUUGUGAUAUUUGAGAUACUGAUGUUGAACAUAUUAAUUAACAAAAUGCAGAAACUAUUGCAAUAUUCACUAGAGAAAGGCAUGCGUCUGAUUGAAGUAUACAUGUCCAUUUCACAAUUAUAACUCUUAUUUUAGCUUCCUUCAAUUGUGUCCAUUGUUGCUGCCAGGUCUUCACUUUCAAGGUCAUGUUCAUCUGUGUGGAUUACAAGAGGUAAGGCAGCUACUUUGGUAGGAAUUAUUUCCCUUUGUGAUUGGUACAAAUGCUCAUAUCUGAAGCUGUGAUUCAUUCUCCCACAACAUGUAAUCUGACUCAACAUGAUUUCCAUUACAAAGCAGUAAACAAGCUGGAAUGCUAAAUAGAAGUCAUUCAACCAAACCAUGUGAUGGCAAGGGCCCUACUUCUCAGUUCUAUGCAAGUAGUGUCUUGAGAUUCCAGCAAGAUAAGGGUUUGAAAGGUCAAAUUCAAGCCUUGUGAGAACUUGGUCUUCCAUUAGUCUCUUCUACUUAAUGGAUCCUCUUGAAGGAUGUGGUUUGUAACGAUGAUUUUCCACUGACUUAAGGAUACUGCUGUGAUGUGCAAAGAGUUCUCAUCGUAUUUUUUUCUUGGCCAAGUGCUUCAAUGAAAUCCUUCUUCUUGAUGUCAAGUUUUAACUAAAAUUUGGAUUAUGAGAUUGUGGGCUAAUUAUAGAUUAUUUUCUGUAGUUGGAUUUUUUUUUAGCAUCUUGAUUCUUAGACUUAAAAAUUUAUAUUAAAAUUAUUAUAGUUACGCAAAUGAAAUAUUUAGGUUUAUUUACUUUUAUGCAAUUGGUUUUGUUGAUGGAAACAUAAAACCAAUAGGUAAAAAAGUAAUUUUAAUAUUUUAGUUGGUGGUGAUGGAUGACAUCAGUGGUGGUAGAUAGUGGCGUCAUUAAGGAUUGCGGGUGGUUAUCGUGGAUGAGGAGAGCAAUGGUGAAAGAUAAUGGUCGUUUUGUAUUUGUAUCGAUAUUGAUGUAGUUGCGUAGCGAUCAUUUUGUCACUCUAUAUUUGUGUUGAUAUUGAUAUAAUUGUCGAGCGAUGAAAGGGUCGUUCACUAUGUCGGCAUCGAUGUAGUUGACGAGUGAUGAAAAGGCCACUCGACGUUGACACAAAUGCAAAAUAGUGUCGCUUUGCAUCUGUGUCAACACCGAGUGGCUCUUUCGUCACUCGGCAACUAUUUCGAUGCUGACGUAGUGAGCGGCCCUUUCAUCACUUGACAACUAUAUCAACAUUGAUGUAGAUGUAGAGCGACGAAAGGGUCACUCACUGCAUCGAUGCCGACAUAGUGAGCGACUCUUUUGUCGCUUUGCAUCACUUUGCAUUUGCGUUGGUGUCGAUACAUUUGUCUAGCGAUGAAAGGGUCGCCAAUGUAGAUGUUAAGUAGCUUUUUUAUUGCUCGACAAUUGCAUCGACAUCGACGCAGUGAGUAGCCCUUUCGCUGCUUAGCAAUUGCAUCGGCACUGAUGUAGAUACAGAGCGAUGAAAGAGGCGCUUGACAUAUGCUCUAGUGUUGAUGUCAAUGUAGAUAUCGAGUGACCCUCCUCUUUUGCCACCAGUCUCCUCAUCCACAAUAGCCACUUGGGGCCUUAGUGAUGUCAUCGUCCGCUAUCACUAAUGUCGUUUGUUAUCAUCAAUUGGAAUGUUAAAAUUAUUUUUUUACCUAAUAUUUUCAUAUUUUCGUUAGUAAAACUGAUGACGUUAGGGUAAAUGAACCUAAAUGUUUCACUUUUAUAACCAUAAGGAUUUCAAUAUAAAUUUUUUAAGUCUUGGGUUCAGGAUGCUAAGGAGGUCUAAUAAAAAAGGAUGAUACAUAAUUAGCCUCAAUAUUGCUAUAAUUUAAGCCGGAGAUAAGGAGCUGACCUAGGCCUUCUUUUCAUAUUCUGUUAUAUGCAUGGUUUGUAUGUAGAGAAUUGUCGAAACAUUUAUAGGAAAAUAUGAUAUUUUCCUAUAAUUAUCAAAAACUAAGGAGAAAUCUUGUUAAUGAUAAUAGACUUAGAGAGAAGAAAUUGUUCUUGUUGUCUCUUUCACAAUUUUGAAAUUUCAUGCUCUUAUGGAAUGAAAACUAUUGGAUAUAAAAACUAUAAUUUAUAUCUAUUUUGAAGGAUUACUUUCUAGUUGAAACCUACCAGAAAACCAAAAAGAAAAAAUAUUUCGCUCAAGAACUAAAUAAUACUAGCUUUGACACAAUGAUGAUUAUCUUAUACUACCUCAUAAAUGUCUUGUUCAAGCAAGGAUGAUUAUGUAAACAAUCAGAAUAUAACCAACAAUCUUGUAAAUUUUCACAUGUUUAAAGAAAAAAAAAUUGUUCCAAGUUAUGUGAUUAACAUUUUCUUGUUUGUAUAUAUACAUAACUGGUAAUUAAUAUUUUUUAACAUAGAUAAGUAAUGGUUUGACUCUCUCUUCUCCUUUCUAGAGUGAGAAGCUCUAGACUUAUAGUUUCAUCUUUAAAAGGGGUAAUUGUAGUCGCCUCCCCCUUUGUGAGGCCUUUAUUCACUACUCAUUCAAUUCCUCUUGUGAAGCUCCUUAAUCUCUCUCGUUAGUAGGCUAUCUCUCUUUUAUUUGGUUUGCUUCUCUCAUCAUCUACCUUUGAAUGCAUUAGAUUGAUGUUAGAGGAUCAUGUUAUCCUUGUAUCAAGAAUGGCAUAAGCCAUGAGCUUUCAAUCUUAUUGGCAAAUCUUUUAGGAGCAAAGAGAAGGUAAUUAGGGCUAUUAUUAGUUGUCAUUACAUUUCUCUUCCCUGCCUUGUGGUGGACAUGGCAAGGGUUAUUUCUUAUUUUGUUUCUACUUGGAGGAUGAAACCCUUUGUAUCUUGAUCAAGGGGUUAUGCUCCAUCUAAGGUGACUUAAUUGGAAUCCGUAGUUCCAGUUGAGUCCUUUGACCUCUAUGCAAUAAGUUCAAUUUUCUGAUCUACUCUUAUGGGUAUUGAACCAAAGAAGUUAUUAACCAUAUUGUAUCUAUCAUAAAAUGUAUUCUCAAAAUCGAUGAUAGAAAGGAAAAGACGUUAGGAAAAAAUAGAAGAUAAGAAGAAUUAUUAAAGAAGCUUUAGCUUGAAUACAUUAACAUGUCCUUCUCUUAUUUAUACAGAUUAGGAAGGAGGAUUGCUCCUAUCAAGGGAGGCUUCGUGAGUAGAGCAAGAGUAGAUCGCUGUUGCUGCGGUUUCUAUUGCUAUUGCUGUGACUACGAUGGCUACUGCAGUAGAGGAGAAAGCUACUGCAGUAGUAUCAAGGAGGUGAGAGGUGGGUGACUGCGGUGGCUUGAGUUUGUGCACCCAGUGGCAAUCCACACGGUGCUGUGCGUGGCAAGGCUGUACGUAUACGCGAAGGAGAGCGCACCGGACCGUUGAGUCCCGGCCUGCAAACUGUUAAGGGCACAGGGGGAUUGGCCGCGGAGCCUCUUAAGAAUAUGGCUGCAGCGACGUUUGGCCGCGGAGCCUCUUAAGAAUAUGGCUGCAGCGACGUUAUUCAAGAAAAAUUAUUGAAGAAAUUUUAUUGAAGAAACUUUAUUGAAGAAGCUUUAGCUUGAAUACAUUAAGCUGUCCCUCUCCUAUUUAUAUAGAUUAGGAGGGAAGAUUUUUUUCAACAGAAUAAAGGAUUUUCCUCAACACAGUAGAGAGAUUUCCUCGUAUAAUUUAGAAAAUCUUAUCUGCUACUAUCAAAAGGGACAAUAUUAAUAAUCUCAAAUAUUGUAUGUACUAUAUAGUAUCUUUGUAGACUAAGUUGUAUUUGUCCUAGUCAAUCAAGCAUCCUCCGUGAAUUGUUCCUAAUAGGUUAAGGAUCAGGUUCUUUGACCAUUAGAGAUAGAACGAGUCCAUUUUACACGUAGGUUUAGCUAUCUAUUCCAUCAUUACUUAUGCAAUACACGCAUUACAGAAGAAGUUCUAUCAGUUGACUUAUUAUAUACCGUUCCCUAUCUUUGAUUUGAACAUAUUCUAAAGGCUAUUUAUUUCUGCAAUAAGUGCAGCCUACCAAUUGCUCAAUUGAGAACAACCUGAGACUGCCAUGUACGCUUGCCAUGCAUGCAUGUAUGGAGAAUAAAAAUCUUUAGAUGGACUGAGCUGCAUAAAUAAAUGUAUACGUUGCACCCUCACAUAGAUGACUGAAAUAUUAAAACCAGAUGACAAAUGAGUGUUGUAAUCUAUUGAUCUCUCGCUUCUACAAGCAUGGUAGGUAGGUUCAAGUAGUUCAUUAUCAGACAUAAAGUUAUGAGUGAUGGAACCAUCGGCAGAGUUAUGAGUGCGAUCCUAAUGAUUUUGAAACUAAGAAUCCAAUACAAAUGAUCAGAAGUCGGGUCAUUCCUCCUAUAUGACAGAUCUAAUAAAACCAAUAAGAAAUUAGAGGGCAGAGAAGUCAACAAAAUCAUGAUGUCUGGGAUGGUGGCUGCAACUCUCAACACCCUAUCAACUUUUCUAAAAGUAACACAGAGAUCCGAAGUCGGGUCAUUAGUUGCGUGAGUUCUGAGCAAAGACUUGGUUGUGGAGAGGUCAUUAUAGACCCCGGCAAUGGGAAGAACAGAAGCAUAAUUAAACUGCCUCCAUGGAGGGUAGCAAGCAAACAACUUUGAGGUCUGCAGAGAAUCUCAGCCUCCCCUCAGUAUGAAAACUCUCUCUCUCUCAAUUCAUAGAUAUAUACAAAUUAUACUUUCUCAUGUUAUAAUCUUCAUCAAUCUCAGCCAGCAGACUGCAGUCGUUUGCCUUUAUUAUAAGCAACUUUCUAUGGCUGGAUACAAAGCAUUUAUGAAGUGCUGGAUCAACCAGAGACCCAUUUCUAAGCCUUUAGUGUGCUUGUUUUACUGUGUGUUUAAAGUGAGAUUUUAUAUACACUUCUCUUGCAGAUUUUAUUGGAUGCAUCAAUCUUUCAAAUUAAGUACCUCUGGCCUGCCAAAGUACAACACUGCUCAUUAGGAAUUCGUUGGUCAGGAAUCUAGAAUUACAAAAUAUGAUCAAUAGCAAGCAGUAGAUUUGACACCAAUCUUUGAUGUUGUUUUGAAAUUUCCAAACAAAGUUUAGGCUGGGCAGGUAAACAAAAGAUAGUGAAAUUUGUCCGAGUUUUUGUAGAUCCAACUCAUCAUGCAACAAAAGAACCAACCAUCCAAAACUCCCUUAUGAUUUUAUGUACUUGAAAUAAUGCAAAAAAUGACACAUUUUUGUCAAAGAAGAAUUCAUGUUACAGGUAACAUGUCUGUAUGUGACUAUGUGUACAGUGAAAGUUCGGAAUAGGUUGGUUAGAUAGCAUGAACCAUUUGAUUUGAAGGAAGCUAGUGUGUUGUUUAGGUCUAAUCUCUUUGUGAAACUUGAAUGCUUAAUAUGCUUGAUUAUCAAUGUUUCUUUUCAGUGAUUCAAACACGAUUACUAGGUCAUAUGAUUCAUUUGGUAGAUCACAUCAGACCAUUAUUUUACUUGAUUUUCUGUGUGGAAAAAUGUGUUUCUGGUUCCUGUCUCAAGUUUUUUUUGUCUCUCUCCAUAUGCAUUCAUCCACAGAUAUGGUUGAUCCAGUUUUUAUGUGUAUUUGUCAGGAUGCUCUUUUUCAAUUUUGUGAUGCAUAAUUUUAUAUAAUUGUAAUGUUAGAACAUUUACGGAUUUUAAACUUGGGUUGAUCUCUUUGGGGGAUCGGCUUCCUUAGAACUCUAGGGCGUUCCUUCCUCCAGAUUGCUGUUCUUGCUAAAAAGAUUUAUUUAUUUCUUGUGAAAAGAGGAUGAAUACAUGACUAUUUAUAGAGUUUCUAAACCUCAAUUCUUAAUAUAACUCAUACUCAAAACUCCUACUUCUAACUAACUCCUAAUGCUUGUAUAAGAAGCAACAUCCAAACUAAUCGCAUCCUUAGCCGGCUUCUUCACCUAGGCUAGAUAGAUUUUAUAUGAAUACCUCUUUCAAUGAAACUUAAUUAGGUUUCUCCUAACUAAAGUUCUAACGUAAGCCUAAUUCACAAGUUAUAUGGUUGUCAUCCUAGUUAAAAAUAAAACUAAAAGGAGAAAAAGAUGAAAAAUUGUUGACCUUGUUGAGCAACAAUAAUAUUCAGUUUACUUUGUCAGAAUAUUCACAUAAAACCUAUCUUCGGUACUUUGUAGUCUAUGAUAAUGGAAUGAUAGAAUCAAAAAGCCGCAAUCAGCAAAGUGGUAGAUGUCACACAACUUGCCAUGCAUUUGAUAUACGAUCCAUGCUAAAUUGAAUAACACUGGCGAACUCAGUCCUUUAAUGAAGCACUGCAUUUGGACACUUUGGCACCCCAGCUGCAGCUAAUAUAUGCUGCAUCCACGUAGUUUUCUUGACUCGAAAAGAGUUGCCAUAUAUUGUAGGUCCAAAUGGUUGUGAUGAAUGCCAGUGCGGACUGCAAUCACUGCAGGGAAAGGGUCUCCAAGGUUGUCUCCAAGAUGAACUGUAAGAAUUCAAGCAAAUAAAUGGAGGAAAUACUUCAUAUAUGUUCUUUUUCUAUCAGCAAAUUGUGAGGUUUUCCUUUUCUUCAUACUUCUGAAGUCAUUUGUAGCAGGACUGCUGGAUUACACGUUCGACUUGCGCAACAAAGAGGUGACAGUGACGGGGGUGGUUGUGGACACCAGAAACUGCAAGCAAGCCAAAGGAUCACUGCUUACCAAGAUAAAAAGAUAUCUUCAUGCUCAUUGGCCCUCUUUAGACUGAUCUGUUCUGCUGUGUUUGAAGUCUUCCACAAUGCGUAAUCCCACUCCAUUUAAAGCCUACUAUUAGGAAUUGGGAUCAUGGGCUGAUUUCAUAUAUAAAUCUUAUGUAAAAUCGUAUAUAUACUAUAAAAAAAAGAUUAUGAUAAGAUUACAGUCAUUGUAACUUUUCAUUUUAUGGAUAAAAUCCAUUCAUGUUACCAUGUCAAAAAGAAUGUGAAAAAGAUUUACUUUUAUUUAUUUUUAGAUAUUUUAUUAAAAUUUAAAAUUUUAAAGAUAAAAUCAAUUGAUAUAUUUGAUAAACUAAUAUAUUGUUAAGAUAAGAGACGCAGAAUGUACUUUAACCAAAACUUGAACUGUUGAAGGAUCAUAUGCAAUUCAAAAGUUGUGUCAAAAUAUUAUAACUAUAUAAAUCGAACGUUGAGGUAGAAUAUUGAUCGACAUGCUAGAGAUUAGACUUUAAGCUAAAAAUUCAAGUAUCACGUUGGAAAAUUAGAUUUUGUGAUGAAGUCGACAAAUCGAAGGAUUAGGCAAUGUGUUGGAGGAUAUGAUGAUAUAUCGAAGAUUCAAACAAAAUAUCAAAAAUUCGAAUGACAUGAUGAAUCAAUCUACUUGGACUAGGUCUCAUUUAAGUAUUUUUAUCCAAUAGCUAAAUAAAAAUUGUUCAUGUUUGCACAUUUUAAUUAAUUAUUCUUAACCUAUUGGAUUGCACAAUAGCAAUGAACAAAUGACUAACGAAAUGAGAUGGCUUACUCGAGGCCCUAAUAAUGUGGGAAGAGAAUUUUAAUGCUUCAUUUUUCAUUAGUGUUCGGUUCCAAACAAGAGACCAUGAAAAGUAUAAAUUAACUCAAAGUAGCGGUAUUGUCAACAUCAUAAAGAUUUCAAGCUAUGCAAGCAUAAGAGAUAAAAAAUCUACACUAGAUAGUAGAAUUGAACUAUUAUUAUCAAUUCAAAGUGGCUCUCUUCAAAUGUUAUUGGGUUGAUAUUGAACAUGGAACUAGUAAUUUUUUAAAAAUUAAUACACACUGAAAAAACAAUUUAGUGAUGAUUCAUUUGUACUAGUCUCCUAAGUUUAACAAGUGUUUUAUAUUUAAGAUGUAUUAGAGGGAAAUUGAUGGGUACCUAUCAAGACAAAGCUAAGGAAUUUGAUUGACCUAGGAAUUAGAUGAGAUUGAGCAAUGUAAAUAUCCUUGUGGACUCAAUAUUGGAUGCCACCAUCACAGACACUAAGAUGAUUUUAGUUUAAUAAGAGAUGCAAUAUUAGUGCUUGACACGAUAUAGAAGAAUCAUAUAAAUAAUUCUGUUGAAGAUAACAAUAGUGAUGUUGAACAUAAUAUGUGAAUUUAUGACAUACAUUGGCUUGUGCUUAAUUUGUAAUUAUCUGUUUUCUAUGUUUUCAUGCAUUACAGUCCCAAGCAUUAAUUUUGGUAAUUAUCAUAUUAGAUGGUGAAUGCUAUUUAGUUUUUUAUAUUGUUCAUGUAUCAUUUCUUUAUAAUUUAUUAGUUUAUAAUCUUUGUCACACGGUUUUUCACAAAUACUAUUGGUGUUUAUCAAUUCAAUUUAAUUAUUGACUUCAUAGGAGAAGACUAUAUAUGUGCGGUUACGAUGAAGACAAGAUUACAAUCUCAUGUUCAAGCUCAAAUAAAGAAUAUAUUAGAGAAUACACAAAUAAAUUCGAGCGUUGAGGAAAGACAUUCCUAAGGGGAUGAUUUUGAAAUGACUAUAGUCUAUUAACUAUUAUAUUAUAUUCAAAUGAGUGUCUGCCUUUUUGUUAUGAUAAAUUAUAUAAAAAAAAGGAAUAAAUGAUUCUGCCUUUUCGUUCAGGAAAGACACUCACUUAGCUAAUGUAUGAAAUUUACCAUAAGGAAUGUAUCGUAGUUCAAUUAGAUAUAAAUUGUUAGAUUAUGUAAUUCUUUGUAAUUGGAUAAGAUAUAUAAUAGAAUUAAUUGGAUUAUGAUGAUAGAUAUUAGUGAAUAUAAAAAAGUCUAUAUUAUUAUAGAAUUCCUUAGGGGAUGUUCUUGAUAGGAGAAACUUUCCUAAUAACUUAUAUAUAUUAUAUAGGAUGUAAUAAUAAUGGUCAUACGAAACGAUAAGAAGAGAGAAGAAGAAACGUCUAGUUAUCCUUACAUAUCAACGUCACUGUGAUAUUUAGAUUCGAAAGAUAGUACAUUUACAAAUCAGAUAAAGAUCUUUUUUAGAUGACAUCAAAAGAUACAUAUUGUGAAUAUGAUCUUAAUGUUAUUUAAUUUUAAUCAUGAAAAUUUUCUAUAUAACUUAUAGCAUAUUAUAGAUUUUAUACUUACAAUACUAAUUAUAGAUCUAUUAACUGAUAUUAUAACAAGUGUCUGAUUCUAUAUAUCUUUUUAUUGUGAUAAAUUGUACAGGGAAAAAAAGAACGAGAGGAUGCAUUGGCUUAGUUAACAUGAAGAGUUUACCACCUAGGAAAGAACUUUAUUAGGUAAAUUAAAUGUAGAGAUGGCACAUAUCAAUUAAUUCAAAAUGGAAGAAUCGAAAAAGUGACUUAAAAUUCAUUUAUUAUGAUAGCUCGUUGAAGUCUAUAUCUUAUCAUUUAAAAAAUAUUUUUUAUAGAAUUAAUAAAAACCAAUGGGCUAGUCUUAUUACUCAUUGAAACUUAGAGGAAUGACAAAUAUAUAAUACUCUUGAAUUUAUUUCAAUCAAAUAUUUCAGCAUCAUUUUGUGUAUGCAAAUAUCAAUUUUUUGUAUUGUAAUUUUUAUAUUAAUUUUAUGGUAUUUAAAAUAUUUUUUUAGAGCCUUAGUAAGAGAAAUAAGGUUAAUAGAUCAAAACAAAAAAUAUCACAUACUUUAGGGAAGAAAAGUUAUACUAGGUUGAUUGAUGAAAAGGUAAGGAAAUUUUUUUAUAAAUAUUUGAUAUAUUUUAUAUUUAUUAAUAAUAUUAUAUUUUUAUGUUUUGUUACAAAGCCAAGAUAGGGAAGAAGUUAUUUAAAGAUGAUAUUUUUAUCAUUAAUCAUGAAAGAAAAAUGAUAAAAUGCCAAUAGAUGAGGAUGAAGCAAGAGUAAUUGUACGUAUCACUCAAUCAUUCCAUUACUUUUAUGGUUCUUAUUAUUAUUUUUGAUUUUUUAUUGAUAAUAUGUUUGUAUUUAUUAUAGAAACAAAUGAAGAAUCUUAGGACACAUCUUGAACUCAUAGCAAUUGAUAUUCCAUUAAGUGAAGAUAUUAUUUCUCAAGUAUUAGGAUUAGAGAAAUCAGGAUAUAUGUGAUGUUAUGGCAUAAGACCAUCUCAUUCAAAUUUUGCAGUAUCCAAAUCUCAUCGUUUAAGAUUUAUGACUACAUAACUUGAGAAGGAGAAAGAUGAAAAAAAUUGACAUCAAAGAAAAGCUUGAAAAAAUACUCAAGAUAUGAAAGAAAUGUGAGUUCAAUUGUAAAUACUUGUGGAUGAAAGUGCAUCUCGAAACGAUAAUAUAUGUAAAUUUUAAAAACUUCUUUUAUUAUAUGAUUUUUUAUUUAAAUCUAUGUAUCUAAUUAUUAUUAUUCACUCCAUUCAUGCGUUGACUAGGAAGUAUAUUUUUUGUACUUUUUUUGAUAUUAUGAUACUCAAAACCUACAAAAGAAUAAUAGUUCUUUAUUUGCUUUUGUAUAUGAAAUUGGAUGUACUUGAAUAUUGGUACUAUGAUUUAUAUAUAAAUUGAUAUAGUUGAUGGAAGAAUAUUAUCUUUCUUUUGUGAAUUGUGAGCUACUAUUGUGGCUAUCCUUCAUUUGAUAAAAGUAUCUAUUUAUGUAAUUGAAUAAUAGCAUAAUGUAAAAAUAUCCUUACAUUAUUAUUCUUUGAGUAUGGAGGGAUACAAAAAGUUUUUGCAAUUUUUACAAGAGUAUGAGCUUCAAGGUUAGAUUGUCAAUUGGUAUAAAUAUCAUUGUAAAUAUUAUGUAGGAACCAAGGUAUUAGUUUAUUGUAGUUAAGUAUUUAAAUCAUUUCAAGUGCAUAUAAUAUUUUUGCUUCAUUGUAUAGCCUAUCUUAUCUUUGUAUAGCAUAUAAGGGGUUGGAGGCAGGUUGAGUUUUUUUAUCCAAGGAAGAUGAUAAUAUCUAUAAUUCUCGAAACAAAAGUCGAUACUUACAAUAAAGGAGUCAUUAGUAAAUGAAUCAUCAUAAAUUAAUAAUGGCAUUGGCUAUAAGAUCAUGAAAAGAUGGAGGAAGAACUUGAGAAAUCUUAACAUAGGGUUUCUAUUAGUAUAGGGUUAAAACCUUCAACCUUCAAUCUUAAUAUAGAGAACUUAUUAUUUACAUGACUUUCUUCUUUUAGUGGAGCACCAUUUUAUAAUUCAUGUAUGUAGUUAAGAUAAAAUUUAUAUUUAAUUAUAUCAAAUCUUAAAGAUCUCUUGCGAAAUGAUAAGAGAAAAAAAAUAUGGUUAAAUGAGUUUUAACCCCCUCUAUAAAUCAUAAUAAUGUGAGUAAAUGAUUUCAUAAUAAUUUUUACAAGAAAAUUAGAUACUCGAACAGAUAUGAGUAAAUGAUUCUAUAAUAAUUUUUAUUAGAAAAUUUUAACUUUCGAAAGAAUAUUUAGACUCCAUACAAACUUUCAACAUUCUCAAUAAGUAAUUUAAUCAUUUUACCUUUUCCUUAUCUGCUCGUAAAUAUUUUUAAAAAUAACAAAUCUAGAAGGGUGUAAGCUUCAUAAAUGAAUACUAUUAUAUUUAAUUAAAUGUGGAUAAAAAUAAAUAUUAGAUUUUUGUCGAAUGUACAUUAUAUAUAUAUAUAUAUAUAUAUAUAUAUAUAUUACUUUGUUAGAAUAAAACUUUGUUGCUCUUAUGUUUAUUGUCCAUAUAUAUAUUUUUUGGUAAGUUGUUUAUUGUCCAUAUAUGACUACAAUUGAUUGCAAUUCACUUAUUCAAUUAUUUGGACAUUUUACUCAUUCGAGAUUCUAUUAAGAGAGUAAAUCAUAGAGGUUGCAAUUGGAGACUACUUACCCCUACGUAUGGUCUUUAUGAUAAAUUAAAAUUGAAGUAUCUCGAAUAUUAAAUAUCUAUUAUAUACCUAACCCCAUAGAAAGAUCAUUAACUUUUAACUCAUCAUCUUCAUUAUAUGAAACCAAAGCAUAUAUAUAUAUAUAUAUAUAUAUAUAUAUAUAUAUAUAUAUAUAUAUAUAUAUAUAUAUAUAUAUAUAUAUAUAUNNNNNNNNNNNNNNNNNNNNAUAUAUAUAUAUAUAUAUAUAUAUAUAUAUAUAUAUAUAUAUAUAUAUAUAUAUAUAUAUAUAUAUAUAUAUAUAUAUAUAUAUAUAAAGAAAAAUACAUCUAAAAUUUAUACAUUUUUGAACACAUAUAUUUUUUAUUUUUUAUUACAAAAUUAAGUGAUGAAAAUAAGAUUUGAGGUUACGACGAUUAAUAAAAUAUUUUAUAAAUUAAAUUAGUUAAUAUAUUUGUUAAACAUAUAUAUUGAAUGAGGAUGAUUAAUCAAAAAGAAAAUCUCAAAUUUGUAAGUAUUCUCAGUUUGCAACCUUAUUUCGAAAUUGUUACAUAGUAUGUAUCCCAUAUUUAUAUAUGCGGAUAAAAAUAUUCAUAUUACAAAUAUUAAUGCUGGAUUUUUCAUCAACAUCCAAACUGGUCUGGACCAUCACAACUUGUCUCACCUCUUCUUUGAGAUAGAUGAUCAUAAAUGUCAAUCCUAUUAUUCGCAUUAUUUAUAAUCUCUGCUUCCCCGUCACAAUCUACCAAAAGAGACCCACCUCACCCUUUUUCAGUAACCAGAUCUCUCUCUCUCUCUCUCUCUCUCUUAUGAUCCUUUUUCGCUCACUGGCUGUCAUCAUGUCCCUCAGGAACCUUUGGCACCCCCCACUAUAUCUUUCACCUCUAAAGGUCGCUCCUUUCCCUCUCACCUUCCUUUCCACUCCUUGCAUCCACCCAUCCAUCCUCCACUUUUAAGUUUCUGCCAUGGCUACCGGAGAAGAACCAUCAGAAUCCCUCACAUGCAAGGUACUAAUCUACCAUCCAUCCCUCCAUAAUUCUCCUUCUAAAAGCUUUUGGAAUGAAAAUUAACCAUGCUGUUUUGCCUGCACACUUUUGGUGCUCGAAUGAAAUAUUUGAUGGCUUCAGACCUGGGUGUUGAGAGUAUCCAUCCAUUGUGAAGGAUGCAAGAAGAAGGUUUAUAGAAUCCUCAAAAGCAUUCGAGGUAACUUCCAAAAUAUUUUGCUCUUCUGCUUUCUUUUGCCAUUUAGCUUCACUCUGUUGGGCUAAUCAUCCGGUUUCUUCUUCUUCUUCUUCUUCUUCUUCGUUGCAGGUGUAUAUGACACGGAUAUCGAUGCGGGGCAGCACAAAGUCACCGUUAAGUCUAUUGUGGACGCUGAAACGCUCAUUAGGAAGCUAGAGAAGUCCGGGAAACACGCCGAGCUAUGGCCGGUGAAGAAACCCAGCAACCAGAAACCCAGCAAUGUCAAUACCAGCAAUAAGGAGAGCGGAGAAUCCUCUAAACCCGAAGAACCGUCACGCAAGUCCGAGAAGAAGCCAAUCCCCUCCAAGCCUAACCCUGCCGCUUCUUCCGCCACCGACACCACCGUCGCAAAACUUUCAGAUGCUGAGAAAACUCAAGUCAAAACCAAAACCACAGCAGAGCCGUCAGAGAGCGCCACGAAAGAGCCUCAGGGUUCUGGUACAAAGAAGGCUGACGCCUCCACCCAGCAGCCUAAGAAGCCCGCCGCCACCGCCGGCGGCGAAGCGAAUGGCGACAAUGGCUGCGCCAAGAAGAAAGGCAAGAAGGCUCAGAAAGAGAUCUCGGAAGAGGCUGGGAAGAAUCCGAAUGCUGGCAGCGUCAGUUCACUGCCACCACAACACAUGUACUCAUACCCGACACACCCACCGCCGCCGCCGCCGCCGUACGUCAUGAGCUACAACAUGGCGGAACCGAGCGUUACCCAAGCCUACUAUGCUUCGCCAAAGCCGCCGGCUUCAGACGGCUUUGUUUACAUGCCGUACCCUCCUCCGCCAGAGUUCUACCCUGGUCCAUCCGACCCGAGCUCACCGGUGCUGAUGCAGCCCAACAUGUUCAGUGACGAGAACUCCAAUUCCUGUAAUCUUAUGUGAGCAUGCUCCAUAGUAUCCUUUCCUCGGAGUCCAGUGAGGUCAUAGGUGGUGGUAGACUAAUCCAUGUGUAGAUAUGUCAGACUACUUGGUUGGUUGUGUCAUCUCCUGCUGCCAGUGUGAGUAGUGUGCUGCUCUCUUGUGAAGGAGAUGUUGCAGUUAGCAGUUUCCUUCCUCGGUGGUUGUGUUUGUAGCUAUUAGUGCCCCCUUGUGAUCGGAGGAAAACCAAGUGUUAGGAAAUCCUGCUGCAGGAUCUCGAACGAGUCCCUCCUCGUUUUCUUCUUUGGUGAUACGUUUUCCUCGAUUUCCUUUUUCUCUGACAUGGUGUGAAGGCUCUUUGGCUGUAAUGAUUGCUUGUUUGUCUGCAGAGAUUAUCCUCUGAAAGAUUACUGCUCUGUUCGGAGCAUGUCUGAGGCUUGACAGGGGAGCAUGACCUAAUUCUGUCAGACUAAGCUGAGCUUAUCUGUUGCUUCAGUUUGACUAGCUCGGGGAGAGGGAAGUGGUAAUGCUGGGAGUGAAGGGUACUGGCUGCCAUGUCAAGUUCACCAUGAAUGACGGAGAAGCAGAGAGGUUGGUGGAAUAAUGCAGGGACCACAUCUGGAAUUGGGCCCAAGAGUUUCUGCUGUCUUUCCCAUGGUGCUGCUGGAAUCACAGAGCUGAAGUGCUGCACUGCAGUUUGCAAGCCCUUUCUGUGCAGAUCAUCCUGGCCGCAUAAACAAGCAUCAAAUCUUACCAAUGGUGAGAGAGGAGGAGGAAGCUUCCAGGUUUGGAUUAGUUCGGAGUACAAGGGAAUUAUGACUCAUCUUCUCCACCAAGACAUAGUUGGUAGUCUCCAAGAAAACGACGAGUCCAUAAUCUUUCCCUUUCACCAAACACGAAGAAGAGGUUAAUGACAACUGAUACGACCAAAAUAAUUACCUUCUAUCACCAAACACGUAUCAUGGUAUGAGAAGAAAUUGCUUAACUGGGGUCGUAUUUAGCAAUGCAUCGAUCCAAGAUCGGUGACAUGAGCAUUAUCUUGCGGGAGAAGAUAAGAUUUUUCUAGAAAAUCUCUUUACUCGAUAUUUACUCGAUCGAGGAAAAUUUUUUAUUCUAUUGAAGAAAUUUUUUUUUCUUAAUAUGUAUUUAAUAUUCAAGUUAAAGUUACUUCAAUAAAGUUUCUUCAAUAAUUAUUCUUUAUCUUCUAUUUUUUUUUAUUUUGAAUCUUAAAAAAACUUAAAUUUUCUUAAUUUCGUUAUUCAAGUCUUUUUUCAGUAUAAGGAUGUAAGAAACUAUUAUGGUCUCAUCCAUCAAUGUAUUUACUCCGCUCUUAUCAUCAUUUUUUAGUCUAUCUAAUCCUUCUCUGCCUUCAUCAUCCAUUCCUUGGGAUGGAGCUCAAACCUCACUUUUGGGCCUCCUCGGAUUUGGGUUCGAUGUCAUUGGCAUAGGGGUCAAUCUUGUAGUGAAACCACCGAAUAUACUCAAGCUUCUAAAAUAUUCAAACAACGAUGGCCGUCUUUGGUUUACAUUGUUGACUCUCAAGUGUCGUAAUUUGCUCAUUCAAGUUGGAGGAGUCGAAAGCUUCAAAUCUACACAUGCUUUUACAUGAAGGUUUCUAUAAAUACGAGCCGUCAUGAUACAUAUCUAUUUGAAGACCGAACCGAAACAAAGUAACCCGGUUUACUGGUUCGGCUGCUUCGACCUCGGUUUAAGAUUUUACCGUUCAAAUUAACCGGUUCAUCUGAUCGGAAGAAUCUUACUUCUUCUUAGAUAACGUAAUACACACGCCGAAUCCUGACUUAACACCGAGGGCCGGUCGAACAAUUAAACCGGGCCGGAUCGAACCCUAAACACAGUAAACCCUAUAUCUUGACACUCGACUCCAGAUCUCCAAACGCCGCCGCCACCUCCGCGAGGAAAACCCUAAUUCUUGGUCUAUAUAAAUAAGGGAUUCAUGAGAGACGAACGUUGUCCUCGGGUUUCCUGUGAUCUUGUUUGGUUUCGCCAGCGUCUUUUGGUUUCCUCUCGCGGAAGCUCUGUAUAAGAUUUAGAGAUUUUGCUUGUCUCUCCAUCAAAGUGGAGGUUGCUGUGACGAAUCUGGAAAAUUCAAGCUCAACAGACCGGAUCGCAGGUCUCGCUUUCUGGAGGGAUUUGUAUGUCGACUGCCCCGCUGAACUGAACAAGCUCCCACAUUCCUUUUUGUUUUCAUUCGUGAUUUCUCAAAAAUCUAUAUUUUCAUCUAUUUGAUGCGGCUUUUUGUGUUCUUACGUCUAUGUAAUUAUCCCUCUUUGGUGCCCGAGGCAGAGGGUGGCUGAUUUCUUGCGAGUUGUUUCCUUUUUCGUCAAAAAAGAUUUUUCAAAAUCUAUAUUUUAGCCGAUUUUGUGUUAUACAUCACUAUUUCUCGGAGAUUUGUGCGUCGAAUAAAAGAAGAUCAAACCUUCCUUUAUUGAGUUUUGAUACGGCGGUAAAACUCGCAGCUCUUUACGGUUUCAUGUUGUUGUUGUUGUUUGAUAAAUCGGAUUGUAGAUCUCCCUCUCAUUGAUUGAGGGAUUUUGGUCGGCUUUGACGCGUUUUGUUACUUAGCUUUCUCUCAUGAAGAUAACAGAGCUCCCUCUUCGGAAAUGCGACUUUGAGGACGCUCGCUGGCAGAGUCGAACCAUUAUUUAAAAUCGCCAUCACUGAGACUUUCAUGUUUUAUUUAUUUUUUAAGAUCUAUUUAAUCUGUUUGAUAAAUUAUAAUUAUUUUGAUGGAAAAAUGGUACGUCUUUUUACACUUUUUUUCUUUCAGCUAAAUGUUCGAAUCAUUUGCAACCUAAAAGAUAGUGAUGAAGUAAAAAGAUCUAUAUCCAACACUUGAUCUGAGGAUCAAAGAUUCCACUGAUGUAACAUUUCUUUUGCUUCUGAAUCUGAAUCUACUUGCUUUUGUCACUUUGAUUUCAAUGGAGAAGUUUGUUUUUUUAUCACAAUUUUGAUCUGUGGAAGUAUUUGUGCAAUGCGUCAGAUGAUGAAAGUUUGAAGUGUAAUCUUAGGACACCUUCCUACACUGCCCAAGAUUUCCUUGGGUUGUGGAUGAGAAAAACAUGUUCAAUCUGAUGAUGGUCAUGGCCUUCCGAAACACUUUUAAUUGAUUAUAUAUCUACGUUUUGCACUAUACGCUUCUUGAAUCAAUAUUGUUAAUAAUAUAUUCGGAAAUGAGGCUGUUUGUAUUCACGUGCAUAAAGCAGAUAUUUAUUCAGUAUCUGUUUGAUGUCCACAUUUUUGUAGAGAUAUUAUGAUCCUUUGCAAUUGUCAUUUUUUAAUCAAAAACCUCGUAUAACAAUUUCUGAUGUGCCUUACUCUAAAAAUUUGCAUGCUGGUCUUCUUUACUCGUCUGAACUAGGAUGUUUAGAAAAGUUGUAUGUGUCGGCUUAUGAUGAUAUGCUUAUAAAAGUUGGAAUUACCGACUGAUAAACCUAUUGUAUGAUGUCAAUUGAUCUGGCUGUCUGAGGCUGAUACUAUUAUCCAGCAUUGUAUUAUGAAGUCUUUAUUCUUCUUUGUACAUGGAGUAUUAUUUUUUCUUUGGUUUUCUCACAAAGGAUAAAGAAUUGCAUACACAAAGCAAUGCUUAUGUUUUUGGUUGUUGUAGCUUGUCACUGUGAAAUAUUUUGGCAGUCUAAUAUGUAGAAAUUUUAUUCAUGUUAUUUUAAUUGAUGUUUUAUUUGUCAUGCUUUAAAUUGUGAAUUGGAGAAAGUUUUUAAUUAUUUAGUAGGUAUCAAUUCUGAAGAGUUUAUGGAUCCCAAUGAAGAUGAAAUGGCCUCUUGAUAGGAAGUGCCGUAUGACACUUGUAAUGCAGUUGCCUGUCCAGUCCUUGGCUCUUUCUCCUCUUGACCAUGCCUCCCUCAAAUCCUACCAUAGGUUUGAGUUUCCGGGGUGUUGUUCAAAGGGGAAUUUGAAGUUCAAUGGACUUGGAGUUCAGCUGUGUGUGUGAUUUUAAAUCGGUCACUGAGGGCUCUUUUAACCUGUUGAAAGUUACUCCACUUUCAUUGGUUUUGAAUAUCCUUUCUUUGGCAUUUUGCAUGUUGAUAGGAAUCUGUGGUCAAGAUCACUGUCCAUCCAUGGAGUUGAUUUCUGUGAUCACAGAUAGUGAAUGUUUUCUGUCAUUUGUUAUUUUAGAAUGCUGUUUUCUAUAUGGUCUAGGCAAUGCCAUUUGUUUUAUCUGUUAUGCAACUCGUUAUUGUUGUUAUAUUUGAUAGUCGGCUAUGCCAUGCAACUCUUAUUGUUCAUGUUUUUGUCAUAUCCCAUUAUCUUAUAAGCUACUGGUCUUGUAGCAAACCUAAAGCUUUACAGAGAUAAAAGUAAGUAGGAAUUAGUGGAUUCCCAUUUGCAUGAUGAUGGCUUACCUGGUCAUUGUUAGUUCAGAGAUAAAAAAAACAGUAAAGGUUUUUUAUGAAGGCUUUACAGAGAUAAACCUAAAGCUUUACAGAGAUAAAACCUAAAGGUUUUUUAAGGUUCAGAGAUAAACCUAAAGCUUUACAGUGGUAAAAGCUUUACAGAGAUAAAAAAAACAGUAUUAUGAAGGCUUACCUGGUCAGAGAUAAACCUAAAGCUUUACAGAGAUAAAACCUAAAGGUUUUUUAAGGUUCAGAGAUAAACCUAAAGCUUUACAGUGGUAAAAGCUUUACAGAGAUAAAAAAACAGUAUUAUGAAGGCUUACCUGGUCAUCGUUAGUUCUAUCAAAUGUUGGUUCAACUCUUAUUGCAUGUCUCUGUAACUGAUAUUUUAGUUUACUGUCAUUUGACUAUAAGGGUUGAAAUGUUCAAUUUUUAUUGACAUUAAUACCCUUUAGAACUUUGUCAAAUGAUCACUCUGUUUAAACUCCAAUAAUUUCUUAUCAGAUCAUAGAACUCUUAAUUCUUUCUAUUAUUGGUUUGAGUUCAUUGAUACUUCUGGGAUGAAGAAACUGUAUCCUGCAAGUGACGACAAGAUAGACAGGGACAUCUAACUCUUUACAGAGAAUGAUGACUUGGUCUAUGGGAAUCUCUCUGAUGCAUGAGACUGUUUUCUCCCCUGUCUAUUCUGUAUUUUGUGACUGUUUUUCUUCGAUGGCAUGAUGCUUUUUUGGUGCAUCUAUUCAAUAGGCAAUUGUAAUUGUAUCAUAUAAGUUCUGCCUGUGAUGCACAAAAAGUGCACGUAUUAUCAGAGGUGAUUAUGACUUUUUUUUCUCCUUUUGACCAUGCCUCCCUCAAAUCCUACCAUAGGUUUGAGUUUCCGUGGGCGUGUUCAAAGGUGAAUUUGAAGUUCAAUGGACUUGGAGUUUGGCUGUGUGUGUGAUUUUAAAUGGGUCACUGACGGCUCUUUUAACCUGACCAAACUUAAUCUGCUUUCAUUGGUUUUGAAUAUCCUUUCUUUUCUAAGGUGUGUUUUUUUAACUUUGUGGUCUGAAGCCAUGUCAACAGUAGCAUAUGCAUUGACUGGUGGUGCUAUGAUCGGGCCCAAAUUAAGUCCUGAUUUGGCAUGUUGCAUGUUGAUAGGUAUCUGUGGACAAUCACUGUUCACCCAUGGAGCUGAUUUUGUGAUCGCAGAUAGUGAAAGUUUUCCGUCAUUUGUUAUUUUAGAAUGCUGUUUUUUUUAUAGUCAGGCAAUGCCAUUUGUUUUAUCUGUUAUGCAACUUGUUACUGUUGUUAUAUUUGAUAGCCCGCUAUGCCAUGCAACUCUUAUUGUUCAUGUUUUUGUCAUAUCCCAUUGUCUUAUAAGCUACUGGUCUCGUAGCAAACCUAAAGUUUUAAAGAGCUAAAAGUAAUUAGGAAUUAGUGGAUUACCAUUUGUAGAAAUUAUCCUGCAUGUUUGUAUUUGAUUUGCUGAUAUUCAGGAAUUGGGCUUACCAGGUCAUUGUUAGUUCUAUCAAAUGUUGGUUCAACUCUUAUUGUGUGUAAACUCUUUAGAACUUUGUCAUUAUGAUCACUCUGUGUAAUGUUAAAUUUUUAUUGAGAUUAAAAACCCUUUAGAACUUUGUCAAAUGAUCACUCUGUGUAAACUCCAAUAAUUUCUUAUCAGAUCAUAAGAACUCUUAAUUCUUUCUAUUAUUGGUUUUUGAGUUCAUUGAUACGUCUGGGAUGAGAAACCGUAUCCUGCAAGUGAUGACAAGAUAGACAGGGACUCGGCACUCUUUACAGAGAAUGAUGACUUGGUCUAUGGGAAUCUAUCUGAUGCACAAGAUUGUUUUCUCCCCUUAGUCUAUUAUAUAUUUUUUGACUAUUUUUCUUCUACAGCAUGAUGUUUUUUGGGUGCAUCUAUUCGAUAUGCAAUUGUAAUUGUAUCAUAUAAGUUCUGCCCGUGAUGCACAAAAAAUGCACGUAUUAUCAGAGAUGUUGUGAUGAUAUAUUAGUUGUCACUACCGCUGAGGCAGUCAAUUUGAAGUGAUGCUAUUGCAUCUCUAGUUCAUUACUUCCUUUUUUGUUGGUUUGUUUGUUUGUUGAUCUGAGCUAGUAUGCAUUGAUCAUUUGAAUGAUAACUUGGUUCAUGCAUUGUCUUAACUAUGCAAAAAUUGUUUUUGUAAAACACUGUGACAAUGAAGUAUUAUUUUUGUAUAACACCCUGUCAUCUUUCAAGAUUCCACUACCUUAUAUAUGCGAUGUUCAUUUUAAUGUUCUGUGAAACUUUUGAUUUUAGGAUCUAAUCCACUUUUUAAACUCGUAGUACCUGAUUGGUUCAUGCAAGACUUGUGUCUUGCAUUUUCCUGUGAAUGAUUAGUGCCUAUGAUGGUUUUAAAUAUACUACGAGUGACUACAAUGAUAAGGACUUUAUCUGAGGCACAAUCAUCUGGUUUCACUUAUUUUUAUAGGUUAUUUGUAUUUUAAAUGUUUGUCUUUGUAAUAUGAGUAAUUUAGUUGGUGUUGUAUCUGCAAACGAACUUUCGAUGUGGGUUUUUCGUUCGGGAGCAUGUGGCAGGGUUCCUCAAGUUUUUAGUUUCAAUGCCUAAUUCUUCUGCCAUUAUUCUAGACCAAAUUAGUGUCUUACAGUCAUGCAAAUUAUUUGCAAUCCUUGUUUUAUCAUUUAAAUGUGUUUUAUUAUUUUUCCUUUUUUAUAUUUUUCGUGGAAGGAUUUCAUAGGGCCGCUUAACUUAGUAGGAUGGUUUCUUUGAAUGUUUGAAAUGUUCAUAUUUGUUAUUAUGACAUGAAUUUUUAAUGCUGAUUAUAAAAUUUGGCUCAGAUCUUGGUUAAGUGCCAAUUGCCAAGCACAAUGUCAUCCAGAUUUGGGAUCAACCACUAGGACUUGUUUCAAAGCUGGUGUGUUCACAAAGCAGAGAUUCUGGAGUUAUGUUGGCGCUGCUUUUAUCAAAAGAUUGUCAUAAAUAUCUAAAUUCAUGAUAGUAAUUUAUUUUGCUUUACAGUUUUAUGUUGACAUCUAUUUGUUUAAUGUAUUUUACAGCUAAACGAUCUUUGAAUAAGAAACUUGUGAAUAAAUUUAAAAUUUCUCAAAUAAUAAUUUUACUAAUAAUAUUUAGCUAUCUAUAACAAUAUGAAUGGGUCACACUUAUCCAAGAUGACAAAUGUUUAUAUGUUUUGUGUUUAUCAUCAUAUGAACGCUUAAGACAAAUUUUCUGAUAUAUGGAUUUUUCUAUAAAUUUUGGGUUUUGUGAUGUUAACUUGCAAUAAUAACCAAAAUUUAUCUAAUGCCAAUUGAAAUAUCUCCAUUUAUAUCGUCCGUGGUUUGACAACUGAUGUGUUGAGUUGAGAUUUAAUGUGGUGUUUAUUUUUAUUAGUUGGAAUUGAUAUUGGGAUGUUCAUAUGCAAGGUAUCAUCAUCAGCUGCUAACUUGUGAUCCAGCGUUGGCAUGAGUCAAUUGACAAAGUCAACCCAAAAGUUGAUUGAAGCUGAUAUUUAAGGAAAAUAAUGUCGGUAUAAUAGCAUUAUAGGUAUAUGUACUCUAUGGGGAGUAUGAGGUGAGAUCUUUGUACAUUGUAUCUAUCCUUAUAUAAAUGCACGUCAUUACAUCUUAACAUUUAAAUAUUCCACUUGAUUAUUACCAUUUUUAAUUUCUUAGCCAGGUAAAUAGAUAUAACAUGCCAAAUAACAACCCUUCUCAUGUUUGUGAAAG
RNAcentral lists this long non-coding RNA (84143 nucleotides) under Musa acuminata (dwarf banana). The record is from RNAcentral. Lineage: Eukaryota; Viridiplantae; Streptophyta; Magnoliopsida; Zingiberales; Musaceae.